GUCUUUGCAAGCGUAGUGCAACUUGUCCAGCUCUGAAUCCAAGACAUCUCCAGAAACCAAGCGGUGAAAGUCGAUGACGGGGACAUGGAUUGAAGAACAAGUAGUGCUAGAAUCAGAUAAGAAUGGAGGGUCUUGCUCAGGACGCAGGUACCGUGGUGGAACUGUGGUGAGCGUCUUCUUUGCUAGCUCCUGCACACUAGGCACCAUCAGAGAGCCUCCAAGGCUCGUUAGUUUCUGUGCAUCCAUCAGUAAAGAGUAAAGACUUGUGAGACCACAAACUUGGCAGAUACGUGCGGGACUCUCAAGCCAUCGCCACCUUAUAUGCCUUUUUAGCUAAUAAUUGUAUAAGUAGAAAUGUUUCAAAUCUAAUGGUUUCACCAUGUAGGAGUAGGACCCAUUGGGAUAUAAUGUUAAGGAAAAUUGAGCACACAGGUGCUUUUCAACAUAUACUUUUUUUUCUCUCAUAAAAUACGAUGCCGUUUAUUUUCAGCAAUCUUAAGUUUGACCAAGGUUUGAACCCUCUAUAUAUAUAUAGAUAAAGAAAAAUAUUGCAGAUACUUGUGAAAUCAACCAAUUCAGAAUCCUAACAAACCGCCAUUGACAAGUGCAAAAUGCAUAUGAGUGGCGCUUUGGGAAGAAGAGUGAAAUGAAUACUAGUAAAGCAAGUGUUAGAAGGGUAUGACACAAAAUCGAAUGCUACCUUCCACUUUUACGGGGGAGUGCCGACCGAAAUGAAUAGGAGAAAGCAUUUUUAAUUAUCUUAAAUUCUUAAUUGAUAUGAUUAAUUUUGAUAAAACAACAUUGCAUUUGAUAUUUAUAUUUAUUAAUUCCACGAGAAGAGGUUUUCUUACAAAAUAAUGAGAAUUGUUAAGUAUAUAUAUUUAAUAUUCUAAAUUACUGGAAGAAAAUGCUAUGAAAUGGGAUGGAUAUAUAAAAUUUAUGCUUAAUUAUAAAUCCCAAUGAAAUGGGUUUUAUUUGUACCUGUUUUGUCUGGUCCCUAAUGAAACAGGUUUAGAAUUAAAAUAAAAGGAUUACAAGUUUAGAUAUUGUCUUGUUUCAUUCCAACUUGUUAUGAUUAUAUAUAAAAUUAGUUUUAAAAAAUAAUUUAAUUUAAUUUAAUUUUUUUAAAUAUGUAUAAAAUAAUAAUAAAAAUAUUUUAUUAAAAAAUAAGUUAUAAAAUAUUAUAAUAUUUUAAUUAUAUUUAUUUUUUAAUGCAAUUAAAAAGUUUAAAUUAAAUUUUAGAAAAAGCUUUAAAAAAUUAAAUAAAUAAAUUAGGCAAAUUAGGUAGGACAAAUAUGGAAAAUUCGUAUUUUAGCCUUACCACCAUUUAAUUUAUCUAUUAUGCUAGGAUGUGAAUUAUUUUAAAUAAAUGGGAUGAGGUCGUGAUAGGGAUAACAUAUCCCAAACCUGCCUCAUUAUCAUCUUUAUGUAAUUUGUAGAGAUGUAAAGAAAAGUAAAAACACAUCUACUAGAAUGAGGACUUGUGAUUUAAAUUGUCUAAUAAAAAGUAGAGAAAUAUCAAAUAUUUCAAGAAUCAAUAAUUAUACCAAAAAAUGGCUACAAUUAAAGUUACAAAAGACUUUUGAUUAAUAUUAAAGUCAGUUAUUUUCUCAUUGAAAUAUGAAACAUAGAGAGGUGAACAAACAAAGUUGUGACACAUGUAUCAUAGUGCAAGGAGGAACCCAAUUAUAUGAUGGGAGACUCGCAAAAUGGAGUGAAGAUUUAGAAAAUGAGUGUUAUGAUCUUAUUUGAAAAUAAUAGGUGCUUGUUUGUUAUUUCUUGACUCAAAAAUUUAAAUUUUCAUUGGAUUUUGUGCAAGCAAGUUUUCUUGUUGAUAUUUGAUUUGUAGUAAAUUCACAACUUUAACAAUGAGCUCUAAAGUUCUAACAUUUUGUAAAAAAAUCACAAUAAAAAUGAAGUGGGAUUUCAAGUGAAUCGUAAAUUUAAUGAAAUUAAGAUGAUGUAUUUAUCAAUCAAAUUGUGGCCAAAUCACUGUGAGAAACCAAUUAGCCAUUAUAAAACAUUUUUUAUGGUUAGAUCGCAUUAACUUUUAAAUAUGGUAUUUGAAUGAUGGAAUAGUUGCGCAUUGAGAAAGAUUUCUACUCGUUGGAUCAUGUCAUAAAAGAAAUCUAACCUUGGAUCGAUGAAGUAAGGAAAUGUUGGAUGAUUUUUCGAAAAAAAAGAAAAUUGUCAGAAAAAAUCAACAAUAAAUGGUCCAUGUUCCAUCAUAGUCAUCCAAUUCUAUUCCAAGGGAUUUUUUUUUUCUUUUUUUUUAAAAAAAUCUAAUUUUCACAAGUAAAAUAAACAAAAUUGGCCCAACCAACUCUCCCUCCUUGGUUUUGGGGUUUAUUCUAAAACAUUAUUAUUUAAAAAAUUAAAUACAAAAAAUAUAACACUUUUGAUUAUUUAUUUUUUUAUUACACUAAACUUAUUCUUUAAAAAAAAAAAAGGUUUUUUUUUCCAUAUUAAACUUGUCUUUUUUUACUUGUUUUUCUAUUCAUCUUUUCAAAAAUCCUAAAACUCAAAAUCUUAUCAUUAUUUUUAAUAUAAUGAUUUAAAAAAAAAAAAUUUCCAAAAUUUUGUCCAUCUUGCAAAAUACAUCUAUCCUUAGAUUUAUAGAUUUUCAAUUAUUUCAUAUUCUUUUAUUUGAGAAUUUUGAGCAUAUAUAUGGUAUGUGGAGUACUUCUCUAAUGUCCCAUGUAGUAACAAAAUACUCCACUCCACAUCGAUAUACGUCCUAUUGUUAUUUUUUAUUUUUUUUCUUUCUUUCAAAGAAUGGCAGAUUCAAAUCAAUCCUGUGACAUACAAAUUAACCAGAGUAACACCUGUGACUCCUUCGAUUUGUUCUCUUCCGCAAAUGCAUGUAUUAAAUCAUCCUCUCCUAGCUAAUCGUGACAGAAAUAAUUACAUUCUUUGAAAAACAUAAAUGGAGAAUGUAAUUUUUGCAAAUGGCUUUGAAGAUUACAUUGAAGGGUUAAAAGUUUGCCCUCCUAAAGAAACAAGCUUCGGGAACUCCAAUCCAGAAUUCAUCCAGUGGAGACGCUAUGAUAGGAUGAUCCUAAGCUGGAUCUUAACUCCACACUGACUCCAAAAAUAAUGGGGCAAAUCAUCGAUUUUCAGACUACUCAUGCAGCAUGGACUGCUUUGGAACAAAUCUUCUCCGCCUCAUCAAAAUAUUGGAUAAUGCAACUUCGUUUGGAAUUUCAGACAACCCAAAAAGGAUCGUUUUCCACAAUGGAAUAAAAGGUAAAGCCUUGAUUGGGAAAAGCAAAGCCUUUGCUGGCAACACUUAGCUACUAGAGGAGAAAGAGUGUAAAAACUAAAAACACCCCUUGACCAAUCGAGCCAACCAGCUUUACCAAUUCUCCCCACCUUAAUUGGUUGCACUGUAAAACACAUAAAAAAAGAAGAAAAAAAAAAAGAAAAAACCAAUUCAAGGUCUGGAACCUUUGGUGACUUGUAUUUAAUUUCUUAAAAUAUUUUAAAGCAUGUUUAGAAAAAAAUUUGACAUAAGGUUUUAAUUGAAAACAUAAAACCAUCCAAAUAUAAAAUAUUUUAAAGCAAUUCAACUCUUGGUAUUUUAGGUGCAUAAUAAAAAUAAAAUACAUGAUUUCAAUGCACCAACAACCUUAUAAAAAGAUCUUACACAAAUAGAUCUUAAUAGCUCACUUAGCUACAACAAGAUUUCAUCAACAACUGAGAGUUGACUAUCAUGAUACAUCUAGUCCAGUGGUCAAGCCUAACACUAUGUGUCCAAUUCUCAAUAUUGCUAUUAGUCGUGGAUGGUCUCUACAUCUAUUGGUCAACAACGCCUUUCUCAAGGUGUUCUUAAUAUAGAAAAUGUAUAUAUGGCUUACUCCUAGGCUUUAUUAAUCUACAUUGUCUAUUUCAUGCGUGCAAGCUUCGUAAGGCUAUCUAUAACCUCAAGGAAGCACCAUGGGCUUGGUACCACAAGCUCCAUUGGUUUCUUGUCACCUCAAGAUUUUAGAAUUUUCGUGUUGAUACGUCAUUAUUUGUCCUCAACCUUAUUUGAUAAAACUAUAUAUCUCUGUGUAUGUUGAUGACAUUAUUAUCACAAGUGAUGAUGCUUCCAUAGUUUAACGCUUUGUGAACCUUCUUGCCCAAUGGCUUUCACUCAAGGACUUUGGCUUUCUUGCUUACUUAUUGGGUGUUGAAGUAAUUUUACACCAAAAUGGGCUACUUUUAUCUCAAUGACCAUACAUUAUGCAUCUUCUUGUCUGCAUUAAGAUGACUAACGCGAAACCUGUCUCCACAUAACUUCUUACAAGUAUGUCACAAACCUUUCACAUUGACUUCACUCUUUUUUAUCCAACUGAAUAUCAUGUUGUUGUUAGAAGUUUGUAGUACUUGUGUCUUACACGACUUAACAUAGCAUUUACGCUAAACAAACUAUCUCAAUUCAUGCAUCAACCCACUAUCGAACAUUAGACUUAUGCCAAGCACCUAUUGCGCUAUCUAUGUGGUACUUCUGAUCAUGACAUUUUACUUUACUAGAAUUCUCCAUGGGCUCUACAUGUUUUCUCCAAUGUUGAUUGGGUAAGCAAUAAAGAUGAUUUCUUAUCCACUAAUGCUUACAUCAUGUAUCUUAGACACAAUCUAAUCUCUUGGAGCUUCAAAGAACAACACAUAGUUGCCCAUUUCUUCAUAGAAGUCGAAUAUAGAUUUUUUGUCGCUACUACUCCCCCAACUUAAUUAAGUAUGCUCUCCAUUAAUUAAACUACAUGUUCGGAUUCCUCACACACUUAUGAUUUUUUGCGACAAUGUGUGUGCAAUGCAACUAUGUUCUAACCUUGUGUUUCACUCUCAUAUGAGGCAUCUGGCCAUUGAUUUUCAUUAUCAUAUUUAAAAUGGUGUUCUUCAUGUUGCUUGUGUGUUGUUCGAAAAUCAACUAGUAGAUGCUCUAACAAAACUGCUACAUCGUAGUUGCUUUCUUUCUUUCAAGGCUAGGAUUGGAAUCUUUGAUCAAAGCUUCACCUGGUAAAGGCGUGUUAGUAAAAACUAAUAUUUAUUUUUAAUCUAAAUAUUAAUAUUUAUUUAUUAUUAGUUUAAAUGAGAGCUGAAGAUAGACAUGUACUUGAAUUAGAAUACAAGAUAGAGCUUGAAUUAGAGUAGGAUAUAGACUUGCAUUUAAUUUAGAAUACAAAAUAAAGUUUGAAUUAGAGUAGAAAAUAGACUUGUUCUUUAUUUAAACAUUCAUCCAUCAUCAUUAAAAAAAAGCUAUGUUUUCUCUAUUAUCUUCUUUUUUUGUAUUACUACCAAGUCAUGCCAUUUAGUCAGAAACAUGCAUAUGUUGGAGCAACUUUCCAAAUUCUAAUGACCAAGAUAUUUGAGUGAUAGAUCAGGAGACAAGUCAUAGUGUACGUGGACAAUCUAUUGGUAAAAGGCAAAGAAGUAGAAUCACAAGUUAAAGACUUGGAGGAGGUAUUCCAGACAUCAAGCUCGGGUCAACCCAAUCAAGUGCACCAAGCGACUAAAUUUUGGGGUUUCAAUCUAUUUAGUAACUAGAAGAGGAAUUAAACUAUACCUUUACCAAAUUAAGGCAUUGCUUCAUGUGAAACCACUAACUAAUCAAAGAGGAGUAUAGGAAUUAACAAGAAAAAUUGCUACAUUGUCUAAAUUGGGAUCUAGACCAACGUAUCAUCAUGAAGCAAUCUUUGUAUCUUUGUACUUCUGAAGAAAAAGAGGAAUAUAAAGUGAUCAAGAAUUUAAACAACUAAAAGAGCACCUAUCAAGGUUGCCAAUUCUCUCUGCACCUUAUUCGGAAUAGGUACUCUAUUUAUCAAAUUGUUUUCUUAAUAAAUAGUACUAUUCUUUUUGGAAUAGAGGAUAGAGUGGAAAAGUAUGUCUUAUGAUAUUAGCAAAGGUAUGGUGGCAGAUAAGAUGCGAUAUACCGCUCUCAUUACCUUUGUUUUAGCACUCUUGAUUGUUAAGUGAAAGCUUUGACCUUAUUUUUAGGCCUAUUAUCGUACUCACUACCUCUUCAAUGAAAUGGGUACUCAAUAAGCUAGAUUUGUUGGGUUGAAUGCUAUAUGUUGGUCGAUCAAACUCAAUGAAUUUGAUAUCAUUUGCAUAUCACGAACCACCCUUAAAGGGGCAUGCAGGUACUACCUGACUUUGUAGCACAAUUCAGCGGGUGGGAGAAGUGGGAGGAAUGGGAAGAGCACAAGCAAGAUAUGAAACAAAAAGAGAAAUAACAGUUCAUGAGGGUGCUAUGUGUAAACGAAGCAUCUAAUUUGAAAAGUGUCCAUGCAGGAAUAUACAUGGACCAUAUUUGUCACCAUUAAGAAAGGUGUUACUCUAAGAUUUGAAGCCUCGAACGAUGAGGCCAAAUAUGAAGCACCCAUUCAUGGAAUUAAAAUGGCCUUGGCAUUGAGGGCCACAAAGCUCCAAGUCUAUGUAUCCAAUGCCACAUAAUUAGGACUACAGCAAUUUGAGUAAUUUUGAGUUGCAUGCAGUUAAUCCAGAGAAGUGAAGGGUAAUUAAUGACGUUUAUUAACUAGGAUAUUUCGGUUUCAUCAGUUCGACUACAUAAUUUUAUGCAGUUGCACGCUAAUUUUUAUUUUAUUUGCAUUGUCUUGGCUAUGCUAUCUUCCAAACUCUACACCAACAAUUAGGUUAUAAACUUUCUAGGCAACCUACUUUUGUAGUGUAGGCAACUUUUUCGUCAUAAUCACCCAACUAGUCUUUGCUGAAGAUUAGCUCAAGUUUAUUAUGACUUUGUUUGUUUUAAAUUUCAAAAACAGGUGUAACAACCUAAAUAAAUAUGUAGGAAAUAUAUGAAGAAUUUGUUAUUUUUCUUGUAUAAAUAUCUCAUCUCAAAUGGAAUAAAAUUGAUCAACUUCUCUUUAUCAUAUCUGCAGUUUUUCUUCAUUAUACCUGUAAUUUCUCCAACCAGUGGUAUCAAAGCCACAGUUAGUCUUAUAGGACCCGUGUUUUGAGAGAAAACCAAUAAAGUUCACUUCAUAACCCAUUUGAAACCACACUAGAAAAUGGCAACCAGCAGCAUCUCUUUGUUAGCUCCUCAAAUCUUUGCGGGAGAAAACUAUCAAAUUUGGUCCGUAAAGAUGCAAACGUACCUGAAAGCAUUUGAUUUCUAGGAAGUUGUAGCUGAAGACAAACCAAUAGCUCCACUUCCGGCGAAUCCUACCUUAGCACAAAUCAAAGCUCAUAUUGAUGAAAAGACCAAAAAGUUUAAAGCUAAGACUUUAAUCCAAAAUUCAGUUGCUAACUUAGUAUUUCAUAGAAUUAUGAAUUGCAGGACAACCAAAGAAGCCUGGGACAAGCUUAAAUUGGAGUAUCAAGGAAGUGAUAGAACCAAACAAAUGCAAGUGCUGAAUUUGAAAAGGGACUUCAAGUCUCUAACCAUGUAAGAAGAUGAAACUAUCACCAAGUAUUCUGACAGAAUUUCUUUGAUUGUUAACAAAAUCAGGUCACUUGGUGAAAAAUUUCCUGAUGCAAAGAUCGCGGAAAAGGUUCUUGUGACACUUCCUGAGAGGUUUGAGUCCAAGAUUUCAUCUCUUGAAGAAUCUAGGGACCUUUCACAAAUUUCACUUGUUGAACUAAUGAACGCACUCCAAGCACAAGAGCAAAGAAGAGCUUUGAGGCAAGAGAAUGUCACAGAAGGUGUUUUUCAAAUGCAGACCCUACAAUCUAAUAAAGACAAAAACUAGUUCAACAAGAAGAAAAGUAAAGGUAGAGAAAAGAACAGCAAAGAAGAACCCCAACAAAAGAAAUAUCCAACCUGCUCACAUUGCAAGAAGACUACGCAUCUAGAGAAAUACUGUUGGUGGAGGCUAGACGCAAUGUGCGACAACUGCAAACAGCUUGGGCAUGUUACCAAAGUCUGCAAAUAUAAAAAUAAAGGUCCAACAAGUACAAGUUGCUAAUGCAGAUUCGUAGGAGGAGAAACUCUUUAUAGCAUCAUGUUUCUCAAGUCAAUACUCUUAUAAUGCUUGGCUCAUUGAUAGUGGAUGCACACACCACAUGUGUCAUAAUGCUACAAUAUUCAAGGACCUUGACAAAACCUACAACUCUACGGUGAAAGUUGGCAAUGGUGGAUACGUGGAUGUCAAAGGAAGGGGCAGGAUUUCUGUCAAAACAAAUUCAAGUAUCAAGCUCAUCUCUAAUGUGUUAUUUGUACCUGAUAUUAGUCAAAAUCUAUUGAGUAUAGGUCAAAUGCUUGAAAAGCAAUAUUCUCUACAAUUCAAAGACAACUGGUGCAUCAUCUUUGAUCCUUAUGGAGAGAAAUUGCUUUGUAUGAAGAUGAAAAGCAAGAGUUUUGCCAUCAAUUGGGAGAAUGCUUCUAAAUAUGCAUAUGUUGGAGUUACUCAAAGUGUUUCAAACCUAUGGCAUAAACGGUUUGGACACUAUAACCAAAGGAGCUUAGUAGAGCUAAAAAAACUUGAGCUGGUGAAAGACAUGCCAAACGCAUCUGAUGAAGCUCAAAUAUGUGAGAUUUGUCAACAAGGCAAACAAGCAAGGUUGCCAUUAAAAAAUAAUCAAGCAUGGAGAGCCACCAAAAAGCUUCAACUCAUACACACUAAUGUUUGUGGUCCCAUGAAAACAACUUCUUUGAGUGGUAACAAAUACUUCAUUUUCUUUAUAGAUGACUAUACCAGAAUGUGUUGGGUAUAUUUUAUCAAACUAAAUCAUGAAGUUUUCUCUGUUUUCAAACAAUUCAAAGCCCUUGUAGAAAAUCAAAGCAACUUAAGCAUUAAAAUCUUAAGGUCCGACAAUGGUACAAAAUAUACCUCCAGUCAACUUGUUGAGUUUUGUAGUACUGCAGGCAUCUAACUUCAGCUAACAACUCCAUGCACUCCACAACAAAAUGGUGUCUCGGAGAGGAAGAAUCAAACCGUAAAGGAGAUGACCAAGUGUCUUCUAUUUGAGAAAAAAAUGCUAAGUAAUUUUUGGGCAGUGGCAGUUAACACCAUAUGCAAAAAAUGCCAAUUAUUUGCUGAACAGAUUGCCUACAAAAUCCUUGAAGAACAAAACGUCAUAUGAAGCAUGGUAUGGUGUCAAGCCCUCUGUUAGUCAUCUUAAAAUAUUUGGAAGCAUAUGUUAUUAUCAUGUACUAGAACCUAAAAGAAGCAAAUUGGAUAGGAAAACUCAAAAGGGCAUUCUCAUUGGCUAUGGGACAUCAACUAAGGGCUAUAGAAUAUUAUGUUUGCACAUUAACAAAGUUGUCUUGAGCAAGAAUGUAAAAGUGGAUGAAAUGACAACUUGGGAUUGGCAAAAUAAAAAAAAUAUGCAAUCUGAUGUCGGCUUCGAUAAUCAUGAAGAUUUUCAAACUUCUGAAUCCAUAGAUGAUUUUCCAGUGAGGGGCACAAGAAGCUUGGAGGACAUCUAUCAAAGGUGCAGUUUAGCAAUAACUGAACCAACAAGUUAUGUAGAAGACAAAGAUUCUGAAGCAUGGAGGAGAGCAAUGCAAGAAAAAAUAAAGAUGAUUAACAAGACUAAAACCUAGUAGCUUGUGGAGAGACCCAAAAAUCACAAGAUGGUCGAAGUGAAAUGGAUUUUCAAAACAAAACUCAAUCCUGAUGGUUCGAUAUGCAAGCACAAAGUUAAGCUAGUGGUGAAGGGAUAUGCUCAACAGUAUGGUGUUGAUUAUCAGGAGAAUUUUGCUCCUGUGGCAAGGAAUGACACUAUCAGGCCACUUUUUGUACUUGCUGCUCAAAAUUCUUGGCAUAUUCAUUAGUUAGAUGUUAAAUCUGCCUUCUUAAAUGGAUUUGUUGAUGAAGAGAUAUAUGUAGAGCAACCAGAUGGAUAAAUACUAAUAGUUAAAUUAAGGAUAAAAAUAUAAAUUAUUUAUUUUCUCUAUUAUGCCCCACAAGAUGGAGCUCCAGAAUGAGAGUCCAAUCUUGGUCUUUAGAUAAAGAAAAUGGACUAUGUAGUAUUGAGUAUUCGGUUAAGGAUAAACAUCUAAAUUAUUUAUUUUCUCUAUUAUGCCCCGCAAGAUGGAGCUCCAGAAUGAGAGUAUAAUCUUAUUCUUUAGAGAAAGAAAAUAGACUAUGUCUUUAGAGAAAGAAAGUAGACUGUCUUUGGAGAAAGAAAAUAGACUAUCGUUAGAGAAAGAAAAUAGAUUAUGUAGUAUUCAGUAUUCGGUUUCCGUGGAGGACGGUUUCCCUAAUUCUAUGGAGUGCAAUCUCCUUGAUUCUAUGAAAAAUGGUCUCCUUGAGUUUUUCUGGAGGGCAAUCUCCCUAAUUCUAUUCAAGGCAAUCUCCUUGAUUCUAUUAUAAGAGUGGUCUCCUUAGGUCCAAGAGCCGAGUGGAUUCGACUUGGUGGCUGAAAGAUUAGAUAAGAGUAGUGGGAUCUUCCUAAGUUGGAUUUCCAAAAACUUUGAGGAAUUUGUAAAAAUAAAGUUUGUUGAAGGAAGAGUAGGAUUAUGAGCCUUAUUUGGCAUCAAACUAAAUAAUGUUUUAGAAGCUAAUGUAGUAGAUGACAUAGGAAAUAAAGGAGAAGGUAGAUUAUAAGGUAGAUCUUAAGUAGAGGUAGAGGAACAUGAGCAUGUUUGUUUUCUCAAGACAUGUACAAAAAAACAAUCAAAUAUUUGAGGAAUCUUUUAAAGAAAGAGAGAGAGGUAAAGUUGAAGGUAAUAAAAAAGUAUAUGUUAAAUUAAGGGAACCAAUACUAGUAGGAAGCAAAGGAGAAGAAAAUUCUUGUAGGUUUAAACUAUGAAAAUUUGGAAAAUUUUGGGUUGUAUAGAGGUAUUGAAACUAGGAUAUUGACACUACAUAGGCAUAGCAAGGUCAAUACCAUUUGCAGUAAUUUACGGUAAGAGUAGGGGAAGGUUGUACACCUUCCACCCUACAUUUUCUCUAAAUCUUACUCCAAGUUGAGACUAGGAUUUAGGAUUUUUGAUACCAUAUAGAGAAAGAAAAUAUGGCAUAUGAUUUUCAUCAACGAUGAUGAAUAUUUAUAUACAAAUACAAUUGAGUUCUAUCAUAAUUCAAACUCUAUCUCUUACUCUAAUUCAAACUAAUAGUAGACUUUUACUCUAAUUCAAACUAAUAAUAAAUAGAUAAAUACUAAUAGUUAAAUUAAAGAUAAACAUCUAAAUUAUUAGUUUCUCUAUUAUUACCAGUUUUGUCUUGUACCUAGUGGAAUGGGUUUGGAAUUAAAAUAAAUGGGCUACAAAUGGGUUUGGGAUAUUUUUUUAAACCUAGCACAAGCUUGGGCAUUAUCUUGUCUGCCCCAACUCACCAUGAUUAUAUAUAAAUUAGCUUUUAAAAAUAAUUUAAUUUAAAUUUUUUAUUUUCUUAUUUUUAAUAUAUAUAAAAUAAUAAUAAAAAUACUUUUCAAAAAACAAGGUAUAAAAAAUUAUAAUAUUUUAAUUAUUUAUAAAUUAUAUUUAUUUUUAAUGUAAUUUUAAAAGUUAAAAAUUAUUUGUUUUUAAAAAAAAAAUUAGAAAAGUUAAUUAAAUAAAUAAAUUAGGUAAGGUGGGGCAAGUAUGGGAAAUUCACAUGUUUGUCUUGCCCCAUUUAAUUUUUUAUUAUGUCACGAUGUGAAUUAUUUUGAAUAAAUGAGAUGAGGUUGGGAUGUGGUGACAUGAGGUUGGGAUGUGGUGACCUAUCUCAAAUUUGUCUCAUUUUCAUCCUUAUCCUUAAAUAAUAUGCAUACAAGGAAAAGUUAAACACCUUUGUUGGAACAAGUCUUGUGAUUCAAAAUAAGGAGUAGAGAAAUAUCAAAUGCUCCAUGAAUCAAUAACUCCAGCAAAAAUAUGUCUAUAAUUAAAGUUUUAAAAGAAUUUUGGUUAAUGUUAAAGUUAGUUGUUUUUUCGAUAUGAAAUAUGGAAAGGUGAACCAUGAUCAUUAACUUUGAUUUUCACAUGAAAAUUUAAAAAUUUUAAAAAUAUGAACAAUAAAAUAAUAUGAUAAUGGAAUAACAUUUAUAAAAUAAAUAAAUAUUUUAUUUAGUAAGAAUAUAAAAAAUCUUAUAUCCUAAAUCUCUAAAUUUAUUCAUUUUGUAAAUUUGUUUAUAAAUAAUUAAAAUCAAUAAAUAUGAAAGGAUGAAGUAAUGAAAAAAAUUGAAAUUAAAAUGAUUUUAUGAAAUUAACACAUUAGAAAAAAAAAAUGGAGGUAGGAGAGAAAAAGAAAAAGAAAAAUCAUAUGAUAUGGUUGAUAGUAAAAAAUAAAUAAAUAAACAAAAAAAAAAAACAUGACAGAGGUCUUCGACUUGUCAUAUCAAAAUAAAAUUAAAAACAAAAAAAAAAAAUUGUGGUAGUUGGACCCACCAUGAGAGAAGCGUUAUAGGGUAGUUUUGAAAUUUUGAUUAUUUUUACUAAUCGAGCACAUGUUCUUAUAAUUAUUUUCCUCCAAAUGUAUAUAUUUUGAAACUCAAAUGUCAAAUACGUGAUUACAUGAUUCAAUUAUUGAUUCAAUAUUUUGCAUCAUCGUCAUGGACUUUGUAAACCACUUAAUCUUAUCAACUUAAAUGGUAAUAAUUAGAAAUGUUAAUAGGCAUAAAAAAAUAAAAUCAAAGUACAAAGUAAUAAAAUCAAAAUACAAAACAACAAGAUAAAAGUACAAAGCAAUAUAAUUACGUACAAUGUGUAGACCCUCAAUUUUGUCCCUUUAGCACAUGUCUUUAAAAUUCGUUUUCAGUGCUUCAAAAUAGUUCCUUGGUGGCCCAUUACUACUCGUACAACUUACCUUUUUCUGAAUCACCUCGGAGACUUUGGUUGAGGGAUUAUCUGACCCCUUAUUGUGACCCCUUGGCAGCCCUAAUUUAGACUUAGGCUUUUCAUGUUUUUUUGGGAUAGCCCUUAGAUACACUUGGCCCAUUAGGCACCACCCUAGGCCCGCUUAGUCUCAUCAUAGGCCCGUUUAGGCACACUUGGCCCAUUUGGACAUUUUUAGCGUGACUUGUAUGACUUGCAUGGUUACAUGGCUUUUGGGCUCGGCUUUUGUUUAUUGGUUUAUUUUUAUUUUAUUUUUUUAUUUUUUUUAUUUUUUAGGUGCGUGAUUUAAAUUUCUCUUGAUUUUCAAUUUCAUGAUAUUUAUUAAUAUUAAUCUUUAUUUUAUUUUUAUUUUAUUUUAUCUUUUUUUUUUUUUUUUUUUGAAUGAGGAAACGGUUGCCAUCUAUUUGGAGGGAAGAUCACCAAAAUUUUAGAGAAAGGAAAGUGACAGCUGCAUUAUUUUAUAAAGUUACCUCCACCAUGCAUAUAUGGAAGACACAGCCAUAAGGAAAAGGAAGGUUGCUGCCCAUAGAAGAAUAUAUGGAAACUUCCAUACAAAAAGGAUUUUUUUUAGAGAGAUGCAAUCUUCAUGGAAGGAGAUACAUGGAAAGCAAGGGAGAUUUUGAAGAUUUUUUUUUCGAAUUGGAGGCACGGAUAGCAAGGGGGGAUUCUUUGGAUGGUCAGAGAAAAAGGUGCACAGGAGGGAGAAAAGGGGGACUGGCAGACGCACUGGAGGAGGGGGAGAAAGGAAAGAUUUUUCAUGGCUUUCGAUGAGAAGAAAAAGAAUUGGUGUCCACCGGUCUUUGGGGGGUUUUGGAGAAAGGGAACCGAUCUCACUUGAAGCCGAGCAAUACUUCUCAAAAGCAGGUUCUUCCAGGUAUAGUUACAUGAAACUCACAUCUUCUCAUCUCUAUUUGAUUCUACAUUGUUUUUCUCUUUUUUUUGCAAAUCCCGGUAUUAUCUUGUUGAUUGGUGUGGACGGAAAGGGCCACAGAUUGUUUUAUUGAUAUUGGUUGCUUACUUGUUUGCCCAGAAUCUGUUUGUGAUAUUUUCCACUAGCCUGAGCCCAUUGAAAGAUCAUGAGAUGUGGCUCUAUUUGAUUUCUAUUAUGCCUGUUUGUUAUCUUCUUGUCUUCUCUGUUCUCCACUAUACGUUUUUUUCAUCCUUCCUCCUAGUUUUCUGGUGACUGUUUACAAACGUUUCAUAAGAGUUAUAAUUUUUGGGAGGAUAAAGAUAGAGAGGCCCUGUGUCAGAAGAAGUUCAAAGAAGCCAUCAAUGAGAAGGAAGUUGAUGUCCAUCCAGUCAUAGUAUGGAGCUCUCCGUUUCCCCUGUUGUUCAUGCUACAGUGGCAGGGUUGCACUUGACCUUCCUAAACCUAUUGAAGAUUUGAAGCAUUCAGCUAAGUCAGAUUCUGUGGUGCUCUAUAUUAUUGAAGAAUCUGGCGGUGACAUCUGCUGCUCUUUUGGUUGAGUUGUUGAGACAAUUAUUCCUGGAAUGAGAUGGUUCUCUUAAGCCAUUCGUUUGAUCCAACCUCAUGUUCAUUCAAUCAUUCUGGACAUUAAAGCUUCUGAUGUUGAAUUCUGAACCUUACUUUCUGAACUGAGAAACGAUGUUGUGGAAUAUCUACUUUUAGUUCAUGCGUGCACCAUGCAAGGCGAUCAUUUUGGUCUCAGUUUCGAGAGUAGAUGGACGUAGUAGUCUCAGUACCUCCAAUGGUGAUUCGGGCUCUUCAUCAAGUGAUUCAGAUCCAGGCACUUCUUCAGAUGGUGAAUCAGAAGGUGUUUCCUCAAUUUUGGCAAUGGCCCUGCUGAAGAUAGUUAAUAUGGUCUUAUAACGAGGACUCCCUGCUCCAUAUAGGAGGAAGGUCUCGAUUUGAAGUAGAAGAAGGCAUGGUUUAAUUAGUGACCAAGAGGUAUCUGGUUUUCGAAACGGCUUGGUCCAGACUUUGCAGCUGUUAGUGGAGAUGUCUGGCCAAAAUUGCGUAUUCUAAAUUAUUUGACUGAAUUGUGGGCAAGACAAUUUAUUCCUCUUAUGACAGAUUGCAUUAGAAGAUGGUGAUCCUUUAAAAGUCGUGAAUUCUGCCAUUGACCUCCACAAGAAGAUGAUUGAGAUGUGCUACUGAUGUUAAAACAGAACGGAUAUCAGAAGUCCUGUCACCAAGACUUUUGGCUUAUCACUUGUUGGUGAACUUGUCGGGACUUUCUGCCACCUCUCCCAUCUCCACGUCUGCAUGGCAUUCAUUAUUGCCAACAAUUCCAUGUACUCAAAUUCUGGAAGAAGACAGACCAACAAUUUGUGGAAAGAAAAAGAUCACUUCGAGUAACAUUAAUCGUUUAUGUCGUUAAUGAUCUGUGGUGUUCGAAUGAUGGAAAUGAUGGAAUUCCACGGGUUUAUAGUCUUAGCUGGCUAUGGAAAAUUAAUGGGUCACCCAGAUGUUGGGAUAUUUGAAGAGGCUUUCCAAUCCCUAGUGCUGGAGGAAUUACUGAUACAAGGCCCGGGUCAAAGAAUAGAUGGACUCGAGAAAAUCGAUAGCAGAUCAAUUCUCCAAGCUACGUCUAUCCCUACCUGCGAGUGAAUAGUUCAUUGAGUAGCCUCAAUAUAAUCUAGGACUUUAUGAAGGUUGUUUUCCAGUAACAGUCUUCUGAACCAUCAUGGCACAGAGUCGAUUUGGUCAUCAAAGACGAAGUGUUGCACUCACUAGCUUGGUCGAUUGGCACCAAUGCUGGCAAGUUUUGGAGCAUUCGUAUAAGCUUUAAAGAGCUUAUGAAAUGAUCUCUUCCUUGUUAGAAGAAACACCGAGAAAAUAGCAGACCGAAGUUUCAUCAAUGCCAAAAGCUUUGUUAUGUUAUGUGAGGAGAUCUUUGUCCAGAAAUGCAGUUUUUGCAGGAGCAAAUAAAAUUGCUUCCUAUAUGGGGCCCAUCUUAAUAACACACUUUGUGAAUUUCUUAUCCGGAAAGGGUGAUGAUUCAAGCUACUAUUAUGGGCUGGUUCUUACAUUGAUCUUGUUCUGGGCUGGUUCUUGCAUUGAUCUUGUUCAUGGUGAAGACUAUGGAAUCUCUAUUACAAAGACAAUGGUACUUAGGUAGGCAGCAGAUUGGCAUCAAAGUGCGGGCAACUCUCAUGGUAUUGGUUUACAAGAAGUCUCUACCGAUCCAGUAUGUUGGUUCCAAUAGUAGGAACCAAUUGAAAGUGAGGUUCCAACUAGUCAUUUGAAUGCUUCUCUAUUAUCCGAGGAAAUCAACGAACUAUCUGACGGCAAUUGUGAUAGAAGUGGAAGCCAUCACGAGGGAGAUAUUUCUAGUAAGCUUGGGGUAUCUUCUUUAGCUGAAUUACAUGGGGAAUCACAUACAACUGAAAAUAUAAAAUGUGCAAUUGGAGUUCAUGGGAAAGAUAUAAAUGCUGGAGUCCCUGUUCCAAUUUCCACUCCAUCUAAGUCCACUCAAAUUUGCAUUGGAAACGUCGUCUCCAGGCAGAGUGACAUUCAUAACUUUGAUUCAGAUGUUCUUGUCGUUGAGGUGUGGAAUGUGAAGUUGAGUACUGAUUUGAAUAAUAUGGAACAUGAGAUUGAUGGGUCCUUGCCUAUUGGUGAAUGAAGCAGAGAAAAUGANNNNNNNNNNNNNNNNNNNNNNNNNNNNNNAUUAGAAUUCCUGAAUUUUUCUCUCGUAAUCUAUCCUUCAAUGGGACAAUUCCAAUCAAGGGACUGGAUGGUCAUCAAUCGUCAGCUUCACCAAAAAGUUGCUCUUCAGAAUUCAUGGAAAGUUAUUGCAUGUUGGAGUCAAGCCAUCUGGUUACUUGAUGAAGAAGGAACCUGACUCCACUCUUGAGAAAAUAUUAGACAAAUCUACUGGUUACUUAAUGAUUGAAGAGUCGUAGGGUACUAUUAGUUACCUAUGAAUUGUUAAAACAGCAAGUUACCGUAGUGGUCAUGCAGGCUGGUCUACAACUGUGUGCCCACCUAAUAAAAGCACAUCCUCUAGCCUUGGAGUUCCUUGAAAACGGGUAUACGGUAGGGGUCUCUCGGAUGUUCAUCAGCGGCCUCAUCGACACCAUGUUCAGGCUAAUAAUGCAGUCUAAGGGUAUAGUUCUCAGAUGCUGGUUGUUCAAGUCAAUAGCAGUAAAGACUGCUUUGUAAAAAUCUGGAAAGAAAGAAUUUAUGUUCAAAGAAUAGAACAUUUUGGUCGUGUUUGGGAUGCAAAACUGGGGAUUAAAGAGGGCUGCAGAAAUGGUAAACAGCUUGACUUUCUGGUGAAGUUAAUGGUCAUCUCGCUGUCGAUAACAAAUCCUUCAUGCUAGAACAAAUCCAAAUAUUUGCUCACGAGGACAAAAGCCCUAGGAAACUACUUCAUCACUAAUCCAAUGUAUGUGUAUGAUUCAAAUUGGGACGGGUCAGAUUGGGCCACUGAUGGAGAAUGACUUCAACAUGGUGAUAGCUCUGUCCAGCUUCUUGUUGCUGCACCUGCUGUUAACGAUGCUCAAGCCAUCAUUAUAGCUCUUAUGGAGGAGUAUGAGAACGUUCUUAAUGGUGACAAUCUGCACAGAUACUUUAUUUCGACAGAUUCAUGGAUUGAAAAUAGCGGGAAUGAAGAUUCAGCAGAUGAUGAAAACAUAGAUAUGCAUGAGCAGAAGUGACCUAUUGAGAUUGCUUGUUUCGGUAUCAAGAACCGACUUCCAUCAGGAACAAUGCAUGCUAUCCUACAGCUGCAUUUUAUUCUUACCAGAACUCAUUCCAUCCUUUUUAAUUUUCUUGAUGAAGGAGGACUGCCCACGCUUCCACCUUUGCCAACAAGUAGUCCAUUUUCUGCAUUUGACAAUGUCGCUGCUACUAUAAUCCGCUAUAUCCCAGAAGUUCCUCACUUGGUACAAAGAUCACCAAAGAAGCUGAUCUUGGUCUGAAGAUUGGUCACAGCAAAGCGCUCUUGAAGUCAGAGGAUGUAGGUCAGACUCUUGAUUUGCCAAUGCGUGGGCUAUGGAGAGAACUUUAUAAAGAGUUGGCCAACGUAUUUGAUAUGGAGAGAGAGUUAAGAUGCUGAACAAUGCAUUCUAUAAAGAUGACAAGUUGGCAUUAUUCAGAAGGUAGUGGACUUUGUAUGUGCUCACACACAGCGUGUCCCAUUUUUGCAUUCCAGUUUGUCCCACAUCAGCAUGCUCGCCCAACCACUCUUCACAUCCUCAUUUUGAACACACCCUUUACUAAAAUCAUCAUCAACUCAUCCACCAAAUUCAGCAUCUAGCAUACUUCUCUCGGUUAUCAAUGUGGGUUGCUAUCAAAGUACCCGAAAUUGUUUACAUUUGCUAGUCGCCAAUCAUUCCGCAAUAGCUGAUUUGCCAUCCAGAUCACGAAGGUCCAGAAUUCCAGUUCUUCUGGCUGAAGCUAAGCGACAGUUCAGUUUGCGUUACGGCAAAGGCAUAGAAACCGAAGUUGAAAGGAUAUAUGUUUUGCAUGGUAUCUUCAGGGAAGACCCGUCUAGAAACACUGAUACUUCUGUGGUUUCUAAUGGCUGUUAGAUGUGAAUUGAUGUAUUCGGAUGACGGGAAUGCAACAUUGAUGGGCAUGUCAAUUUCAAACCUUCUGAGGAGAUAGUUGGAAGUCAGGGAUUUCUAGUUCCAACUUUAGAGACUAUUGAAUGCAAAUCGCCUCUAACUGAACUUAGAGAAGAGAAGGAUGAGGGGCAAAAUAAUAUAGAAUCAAUACCAUAAGUCAGAGAAAACCAGAUUCAGGUGACUGUUUGCUUCUAGAUCCAAUUUCAUAUUGCUGAUUUGUAACUGAUGAGUUCUAAGCCCGCAAAGAAAGUAAAAUCUACAGUCAAAGAAUGAAUUUGAAACUGAAGAUGAGAUGAUUGGUGAUAGAGCAGUAGGAGAUCAAAACCAUGAGCUUGGAGUCACUAAAGAGUUGAAAUAAUCAGUUUUUGUCCAUUAUACUUAUGCUUUUGAUGAUCUUCUUCAAAUCCUGCAGAACCAUUGGAAUGGUUCCGUUAACUUUCACAGAGGAUGGAGAUCAGCUUCCAGAUAGCAAUUCAAAUCUGGAUGAGGGGAGCUACUCAGGUGUAGAUAACUCAGUCAGCUUGUCUAUUUCAAGAGAGCUUCAAGAUGGAAUAGGCCAAAUUGUCACUCAACCAUUAACUACUCAAGAAAAUCUUGACAGCUCCAAAAGACAUCAGUAAUGAGCAGAUCAUCCAACUUUGCGCCUUUCAUGUAAUGGUUCUGGUUCAUAGAACAGAGAAGAAGCCUUCAGGAGGAACAAGAGGAUGAUGAAGCUAGGUAUCUUCUUGGCAGCCACACUCGAAAGUCCCGAAUACAGGAUCCAUCAGAAAGUCUCUAGCUCCCUGCCCAUUUGCCUUCACACACGUACUAAGUUGCUGAAUCCUUUUGACCGAGGGUUAAUUUCUGAUUAUGGGCAAUUUGAUAUACCUGAAGGAUGAGGAUUUAUCCAAGAACUGGACAUCUGAAAAUCAAUUAAGACGCGAGUAUGCAGUUGAAGAAAAUUGUUUGUGAGCAAGCUGACAAUAGAAACAGAAUUCAGAUGUUAAUAUAAGGGAAUUUAAUUCUACACAUUCUCAAACCAGAUGUGGACCCAGAAUUCAUAGAAGGUUAUUACAUGUUAGAGUCAAGCCAUCUGUCAGAAAUAUUUACAGUCCAUGAAUCUUCGCAUGAGAUUCUAGAAUUUAAAUUCAGAAAUAUCGGGAAGGAAGAUCUUAAAAGAGGAAACAGUGGCUGGUACAAAGAUGUCUCCUUAAGAAUUGUUGAAAGCCAUAUUCCAGAAAUGAGUAGGCAGGUUGGCUUGAGACAGUCUGUAAAAAGGCAAGCAUCCUUCUUCUGACCAAAAAGCUCCAGCUUCAACUCUCCUAUGUUAAAAUCAGUUUGCGAAAUGGUGGUCACCUUGGCAGCGUCAACCAUUCUAAAAAUGCUUCAAUGCUCCUGCCCUUUUAUUUCGACCCUGAACUAAGGAAAAUGAUGCAAAACCCAGAAUUUCAUUGCUUGCUAACUCCACCAAUGAAGACAGGGACUUAACUACAAUGAGCAACGAGAAGCUUAAAUGUUCAGGAAAAUGGCCCUGAGAAAUCAGAUAUGGAGAUUCCAGAAGUGAAGAGAAUUCAUAAGGGUGCAGUAGGCUGAAAAUAUUAAAGAGGCAGGCAAUGUGUCAAUCAUUUUUCGAAAAAAGUAAUGGAAGUUUGCUUCAGCAAAAGAAAUUCAAGAGUUGGGAUAUCAGACUACAGUUAAAUUAAAUAUUGUGAAACCAGAUUGGUUCAUGGCAACAACGAGGGUAUGUAUUCCAACGGAGCUAUUGAUUCAAGCCUUGAUGGUGAGUAAAUAACACCGGAUGCAGAAAUACAACAGUGCAGAAAAGUAGGAAUUUUGAGCUUUAUGUUCGGUGUUUGACCAAUGUUGGGGAGAAUCCAUUUGAGCUUACGGAUCAAGUUACCUUAUACAUGGAAAUGUUUCUGACCACUGAAUAUCCUGACGACGAAUUGGGUCCUUCUAUACCGAAUUCUGAGACUCCAUUCCAUCAUGGCAACCUUGCUAUACACACCUUCUCCUCUAUUUGCUUCUUUGAUUGAGAACUUACUGUUUUAAAUUGAAUUUUUGAACCAUUGUUCAAUUAAACACUCCUAGCUUUGAAAAUUUCAUCUUAGAUCCUUUCUAGGUAUAAAAUCCAUAUUCUAACACACUUUUGCUGCCAUUUUCCUCUAGGCAUGCACUUUCAUUGUUUUAUCCGAUUUUUAACUAUUUUCAUGAUUUUCACGAUUUUCAACAAGCAUGAAUAAACUUCAUAAUUCCAAAUCAUGGAAUUUAUGGAAUCAACUCAUGCGAAAUUAAUUAGGGCUUUGGUGGGGGCCCGACAUUCAUGAUAUUCUCAUCAAUAUUGUUUGCUUGAUAUGUUGAUUCUUUUUCUUCUUGAUGAUAUUCAUGAAUUCGUUUUAUAUCUAUUAUUGAGAUAUCCUUGCUUCCCAUAGAGAUGUGGAUGCUUGCUAAUCAGGUACGCCAUUUCUACCCCACAACCCUAAAAUUCUAUGAAUAUGUACGAUAUCAUGAGCCAUGACCAUGUUCGAUACCAUAUUUGAUUGUCUUGAUGUUUGUUUGAUCAUCUUUGAUAAAAUACAUGUAAUGUGUCAUAUUUCCAAACUAAUCUCUUAUGUUUUAUGAUAGCGCUUGAGAAGCUGUUCAGGUACGCACUUCGACUCUCUCUUAUGGUUUGUUUUCUUGUUAGGCAUGCAAUAUUUGAAAUCACCUAGCCUACUUAGGUAUCCAUAAUUAACUGACUAAUGGCCACACUUCCCUUAAUUUUGUCAGUAGAGACCUUUAUAGGGCUUAGAGGGGUGCUACCUCCUAGAGGUACCUUCCCAAUAAGUAACCUGAUCCCCGAACCAAGACUUGGGUUUUCAAAGACACGUUUUUCCAAAAAUUAUGGAGUCAUUUUUUUUAGGGUUUUAUUUCUUGUUUUAUUUUCCCUUCAAAAAUAAAAAUAAAAUAAGUGGCGACUCCAACUUUUUUUAAAAUCAAUUUUUCACAAUAAAAAGCGAGUCUCGCCGAUCGAGUGGGGACGCACGUGAAAGAUGCGGAUCCACAAAUUGGCGACUCCGCUGGGGAUUUUGAGGAUCAAGCUUGAACACGAGUUAAGGAAAAUGUGGCGUUUAAUUGGCCGAUUAGUGGAUACCUCUCUUUUUAGGCAAGGUGAUUUGAUUUGCUAUCUUAACAUGAUUGAUUGCCUUGGAUGAUCACUUGAUUGUUUUGCUCACUUAGCAUGAUUCACUCUCACAUAUGUUCAAUAGGACUUUGUUUGUUUGAUAUUUAUUUGAUUCGCAUGACUGUUUGAAGUGAUCACUUAACUCUUUGUUCACUUUAGCAUGAUUCACUCUCACAUAUGCUAGAUAGGACUUUGAUUGUUUGAUAUUUAUCUGUUUUGCAUGGUUGCUUGUUGCAUGACAACCCUUUCUCUUGCAUGUUUGUAUGAUUGCUUGUCUUCAUUCACUAUCUCACUUUAGAUCUUAGGUUUUUCGGAUGCACCCACAUCUUUCAUUGUGCACCUUAGAUUAUCCCUGAGUGUUGAGAGAUGGGAGAGCCUUCACCAUUAAGAAACCCCCUGGGAACGCGAGGAAGUGCAUAUGUGGAGGUGAUGACCACCUUGCAUGGAAGCACCCCGUCUCCUUGGAGGCGUGCAGAGGGUUGCGUACCGCCGGAGGGUACGAUCGCUUCUGCUAGGGAUCCUUUAACCCACCCAUCUUAUCUUAUAGAGCCACCUCAACCUUGUAGGUUAGCCUAGACCCAAUUAAGAUUUCAUUCCUACACGUGGGUGCAUCUGUGGACCUUCAGAACUGCCUUGGUCAUAAUUGGGUUCAGUUAUCCUCUUCAUGGUUUCCUUUUGGUGUGCUCAGAGAUUGGUACAUGUUUGAGUCUCAGUUGGGCCACCUUUCUGGUUAGUGAUUAGUGUGUUUCCACAUCUUCUGAGUUUUCUUCAUGUCAUUUAUCUUUUCGUGCCUUUGUACCUUAUAGGAGUGUUAUUAGUUUCAGUUUAGAUUCGACUUCUUAUAUAUCCGAGUUGGAGAUAGAUUGAUCAGGGUUUCAAAGCAGUCAGGUAUGGAUCUUCAGCAUGUUAUAGUUGAUUGACUUGUAGUCACCAUGACUCUAUUCAGGAUGCACUAGCAGGUUUGAGCCAGAUGAUUGAUGGACAGUGGUAUAGAUAACAUCCAGUUCAGGAUGAGAUGUCGUAUGAUUCAUUACCACCCACCCCCACUACCCAGUUAGCCAGUGACAUUGUUGAGGGUGACUUCGUACAUAUGAUGAGUUUAGUGGAUUAUGAGUCAAAGUUUAUCAGAUGAGAGUUCUUAUAGAGGACGUUAGUUUUUCUCAGAUGAGAGAUUUGAUUGACAUGGUUUUCUUCAUGAUGAGCCUGAGAUAUAUGUGUUGGAUGAUAGUUGGAUGACUAGCACAGAUUAGCUAGAGAUGGUUCACUCUCUUGAUAUGCUUGAGAUAUUCAUUGUUGAGAGUUCAGGAGAGAUUCGAUUUAUUUAUGUUGGGGAAUUCCGCUUUUGUUGAUGAUGUGUUUGAGGACGAUGUUAGCCCAGUUAUGAUUAUGGAGAUUCAUCUAUUCUAGGAGACCCUAGGGACUUACUUGGAGUACACCACUUGUCAUCCGAGAGUUGACUCCAGAAGGGGCUGCAUGGUUGACAGACUUAGAUGGAAACCAAUUUUUAGAGCCUACCAAUGUGGAUCAGCUGAAGAAGUAUUAUGUUUGAGACCGUGGUCGCAGGAUGGGUGGCCAUCAUUUCGGUUAGCCUUACACCUUAUCACCUUUAUUGAUAUAUUAAACCAUUGCUAGCCCAUUGAGCCUCACGUGGUAUGUUAUAGCCUUAUUUCUUUCUUAUAGCCUUGAUUACCAUUUCUACACCCGGGUUGGGACCCUUUGGUGUAUAUGCAUGCUUUGCUAUGAAAGUCUCAUGAGCUUUAGACUUAUAGGCCUAUCUUCUCAUUCUUGUCAUCAUCUCCUUAUCACCCCGUUUGUUUUAUUUUGCUAUCAUCACAUUUCCAUUCUCUUUCUUGCUUUUAUCAUUAUUUGCUUCAUUUUAUCUCUUCUCUUCCUUGGGCUGAUGAUUCUUCACAUCUUAGUGCAAAGAGGGCAGUCAUAUCACUCCAUUCAUCUCAUCAUUUGGCAUUGAUUCGGAGAUUUUAGUUUGAGAGGUUGUCUCAUGGGUUGGGGUUCAUGUAUUCAUCAGUGAUUUGAGAGAGUUUAUUCAUUUCUUGUAUCUUUCCCAUUGGAGUUUGACUUAUUGAUGAUCAGAGCAUGCGCCAAAAAAAAAAAAAAAACAAAACAAAACAGAAAAAAAGAAAAAAAAAAAAAAGAAAAAAGAGAAGAAAAAAAAAGAAAAAGCGCAAUGACAUGUUUAUGUAUGGUAUCUUGCUCCAUUGGGCACUUAUAUCACCUUUUGAGGUCUGUUUACUGGGUAUAUUUGUCAUUGUGGGUUCUUGUGAGAUGUUUAUAUGAGUUUUCACUCCUUGAGCCACUCUUAUUAGGCAUUUGGAGUGUUGAGGGUUCAUGUGAGAGUUCUAUGGUAUCCUAUGCUUCUUGGAUCAUGUUUGAUAUAUAUUAGGUAUGAGAGUUGAGUGACCUUUUUACUAAGGUCUCCGGAUCAUUGUCUUAUACCCACCAUUCCAUCAUUGGUGAUAUGACUUUCCCUUAUUGUACUGAUAUGAGUUGAUCAUCAUUCAUUCUACUUUCUUAUUGCCUUACUUUGUAUCUCCUCACCCAUUUCCAGAUCUUCGUUCCACUUUUUAUCCAUUUCCUACAUAUUGAUACACAUUUUGGUUUUGAUACCUUCUUCACAUCAUUCACAUGUUUCAUUGAUGGUUUGACUACUCAUCUUUCUCUCAUUUCGCCAUCAACAUUUCCUUUGGUUACCUUUAGGUCCAUGGCUCAUGAGAUUUUUCUAUGCAUUACAUCUUAUACACGAGGGUAUGGGUUUGAUCAUUGGGUAUUUGAGCCUAGUUUCCCUUCAUUUCUUUCACCCUAUCACCCUGGCCUACGUUACGUCCCGUGUCUUAAGACCACCCUGAGACCAUGAGAUCAGAUGUUAUCUUUGACAGCCUCUACUUAGGUUGGUGUUUGGGAUUUGGUUGAUAUAUAGAUGUUGUCAUGUUUCUUCUUCUGGGAGAUGCUUUUUUUAUGCUUGGAGGUGAUUUAGUGAUGGAUGUAGACGAUUGCUUCAUCUUACAGAUGAUAUUUGAUGUUGUCUGGCUUCUACUGUACAUCAGAUAUCCAUACUAGGGCAUAUUCCCCUUUCAUUUGGUUGAGAUGAGCCCCUAGUGGAGCACUUUCUUUGAGUCUGGGCAUUUUCACCGAUCAGAGAUCCCUAGUGGGGUAUGUUGAGAUUAUAUCAGUUCUAGUGGAGCAUCGUUGAGCCCCUAGUGUUUCCAUUUGCGGAGUAUUUCUGAGAUAGACUAGUGGAUUAUUACUGAGUUGGAGGCAGUUUUCAGUGCAGUGUAUAGAUCUGGCAUACUGGGACAUAUUUCCCCAUUUUGAGGUUACCAGAUUCGUGUUGGAUAUAGUCAGGGAUUCAUCAGAGACAUGUUUCUACUCCUAAGAUUACCACGUCCUUCAUCAUUUUGGCUAUUCAUUUGAGGUUGGAUUUAGAGUGUCUCCCUUGAGGCAUUGGUCGGUACUUCAUUCUGACUUCCUAGCAGAUUGUUGUUGAGCUGAGGACAGUUGAUUGAUGAUGUUGGAUUCACUCUUUGGUUGUGCAUUAGAUAUUCACAUUGGGGCAUAUUCCCCCUUUUUCUGAGAUUCCUAUCUGUUAUUGGGCGGCAUGACUAUCUUUAUUCAUGGUUAUAGAGAUGUUUGGUUGUUUUUGACAGACUCUUUAUUGUGCAUUAGAUUAUCCACACUGGGGCAUAUUCCCCUCUCCUUGAUGAGAUUGUGUUUAGAUAGCGGUACGAGGAUGGAUGAUCGUUGUUAGUUUGUUUGCCUCACGACUUCGACGUCCGAUAUCCAUACUAAGGCAUAUUCCCCUCUCCAUUACGAGAUUUAUUUGGGUAGUGAUAUGAGGAUGGAUGAUUAGUGUCGGUUGAUUAGCUUAUGACUUUGACGUCAGAUCUUAUACUGGGGCAUAUUUCCCCCAUUUUCUUUGAGUAUCCUUGAGAUUGAGACAGUGGCCAGCUUGGUUUUAGAUUGAGCACUAGCCCAGAGCUUCCGAUGAUCGACUGUAUCAGGGCCUCCCUACAUGGAUUUGUUGAGAUAGAGAUGGAUCGCAUCAGGUUUCACCCGAGGAGCGUGGGUGGAUCCUUUAGCCAGAUGUUCAUGAGACAGAUUUGUUUUCAUCAUUGUUACCUUGCAGAUUGGAUUAUCCAGAUGAGCAGCAUUUUACGUACUUUGAGGUUUACUUUUAGAUGAGCCAUGAUAUACACUCUUUGAGAUUUACCUUUUGAGAUUCACCGACAGAGCAGCUUUUCAGAUAUAGAGGGUUCCUUCAGUUUAGACUUUUCAGAGGUUUGUCACGAUGCAUCAGUUUCUGACCUAUUGAUUUCAGCGGAUGAUUGAUUUACUGGUUGUUUCGGCAGUGUGAGCACCUUGGAUACUGGGGCAUAUUUCCCUUCUUGGUUUCAGUAGUCCGACCCUUGACAUUUUGAGUAUAUGACUUUGAGCCAAUUUAUUUUGUGUCCACUUUCGAGUUGGUCUUAUCCUUUUUCCCUUAGACCCUGAGUUUUAUAGCCCUGAGCUAUCCUUUUUCCCUUAGGCCCUGAGCCCGCUAGCCUUGAGCUAUCCUUUUUUUUAGGCCCUGAGCCUCGUAACCAUGAGCUAUCCAUUCCUUCUAGACCCCGAGUCUUAUAGCCCUGAGCUAUCCUUUUUCCCUUAGGCCCUGAGCCCGCUAGCCCUGAGCUAUCCUUUUUUUUAGGCCCUGAGCCUCGCAGCCAUGAGCUAUCCAUUCCUUCUAGACCCUGAGUCUUAUAGCCCUGAGCUAUCCUUUUCCCUUAGGCCCUGAGCCCGCUAGCCCUGAGCUAUCAUUUCCUAUAGACCCGGAGUCUUUCCAGCUCUUAGCUGAGCUUUCAUCAUUUGGUCGCCCAUGAGUGGUUUGACCUGGAGUUUGCGUAUUGCAUUCUCCUUCUAGCCGAUCAGUCAUAGAGCCCGGAGCUCAUAGCCCUGAGCUAUUCAUCGACCCAGAGUCAUUUUCCAUCUUGACCCAGAGUCAUUCUUUCCUAGUUAAAGCCCAGAGCUCUCGACCCAGAGUCAUUUUCCAUCUUGACCCAGAGUCAUUUAUAGCACCCCGAGCCCUGAGCUCACGACCCGGAGUCAUUUACAUCAUUCUAGCCACUUGUGAGUGGCCUCGACCCGACACCUUGAGUCGGAAAGUAUCCUGAUCGGCUAUCUAUUUAGAGCCCGGAGCUCUCGACCCAGAGUCAUUAUUUCCUAUUUUAGAGCCCGGAGCUCUCGACCUAGAGUCACUUUCCAUUUCGACCCAGAGUCAUUCUUUCCUAUUUUAGAGCCCGGAGCUCUCGACCCAGAGUCACUUUCCAUUUCGACCCAGAGUCAUUAUUUCCUAUUUUAGAGCUUGGAGCUCUCGACCCAGAGUCAUUCUUUCCUAUUUUAGAGCUUGGAGCUCUCGACCCAGAGUCACUUUCCAUUUCGACCCAGAGUCAUUCUUUCCUAUUUUAGAGCUGGGAGCUCUCGACCCAGAGUCGGUUNNNNNNNNNNNNNNNNNNNNNNNNNNNNNNNNNNNNNNNNNNNNNNNNNNNNNNNNNNNNNNNNNNNNNNNNNNNNNNNNNNNNNNNNNNNNNNNNNNNNCAGAGUCAUUUUCCAUCUUGACCCAGAGUCAUUUAUAGCACCCCGAGCCCUGAGCUCACGACCCGGGAGUCAUUUACAUCAUUCUAGCCACUUGUGAGUGGCCUCGACCCGACACCUUGAGUCGGAAAGUAUCCUGAUCGGCUAUCUAUUUAGAGCCCGGAGCUCUCGACCCAGAGUCAUUAUUUCCUAUUUUAGAGCCCGGAGCUCUCGACCUAGAGUCACUUUCCAUUUCGACCCAGAGUCAUUCUUUCCUAUUUUAGAGCCCGGAGCUCUCGACCCAGAGUCACUUUCCAUUUCGACCCAGAGUCAUUAUUUCCUAUUUUAGAGCUUGGAGCUCUCGACCCAGAGUCAUUCUUUCCUAUUUUAGAGCUUGGAGCUCUCGACCCAGAGUCACUUUCCAUUUCGACCCAGAGUCAUUCUUUCCUAUUUUAGAGCUGGGAGCUCUCGACCCAGAGUCGGUUUUCCAUUUAGAGCCCAGAGCUCUCGACCCAGAGUCGAUUUUCCAUUUCGAGCCCAGAGCUCUCGACCCAGAGUCGAUUUUCCAUUUCGAGCCCAGAGCUCUCGACCCAGAGUCGGUUUUCCAUUUAGAGCCCAGAGCUCUCGACCCCAGAGUCGAUUUUCCAUUUAGAGCCCAGAGCUCUCUACCCAGAGUCAGUUUUCCAUUUAGAGCCCAGAGCUCUCGACCCAGAGUCGGUUUUCCAUUUAGAGCCCAAAGCUCUCGACCCAGAGUCGCUUUUCCAUUUAGAGCCCAGAGCUCUCGACCCAGAGUCGCUUUUCCAUUUAGAGCCCAGAGCUCUCGACCCAGAGUCGGUUUUCCAUUUAGAGCCCAGAGUCGGUUUUCUAUUUAGAGCCCAGAGCUCUCGACCCAGAGUCGGUUUUCCAUUUCGAGCCCAGAGCUCUCGACCCAGAGUCGAUUUUCCAUUUCGAGCCCAGAGCUCUUGACCCAGAGUCGAUUUUCCAUUUAGAGCCCAGAGCUUUCGACCCAGAGUCGAUUUUCCAUCUAGAGCCCAGAGCUCUCGACCCAGAGUCGUUUUUCAUUUAUGACCCAGAGUCAUUUCUGUUCCAUUUAGAGCCUAGAGCUCUUGACCCAGUGUCGAUUUUUCACUUAUGACCCAGAAUCAUUCUUUCUGUGCAAAGCUUUGAGCUCACGACCUGAAGUUAUUCCCUUUUUGUGAUUGCGUCCCCGUGUUUAGAUCUUACCUCUUCAUGUGCUAGGACAAAAUCUCUGGUCCUUCUUUAAUUCUUCGGUAUAGUUCACUUCAUUCUGCUCAUUACUCGUAUUUCUACUCACAUUCUCUACACUCGUGAUCUAUACCGAAGAGGGGCAUAUUUGUAGACCCUCAAUUUUGUCCCUUUAGCACAUGUCUUUAAAAUUCGUUUUCAGUGCUUCAAAAUAGUUCCUUGGUGGCCCAUUACUACUCGUAUAACUUACCUUUUUCUGAAUCACCUCGGAGACUUUGGUUGAGGGAUUAUCUGACCCCUUAUUGUGACCCCUUGGCAGCCCUAAUUUAGACUUAGGCUUUUCAUGUUUUUUUGGGAUAGCCCUUAGAUACACUUGGCCCAUUAGGCACCACCCUAGGCCCGCUUAGUCUCAUCAUAGGCCCGUUUAGGCACACUUGGCCCAUUUGGACAUUUUUAGCGUGACUUGUAUGACUUGCAUGGUUACAUGGCUUUUGGGCUCGGCUUUUGUUUAUUGGUUUAUUUUUAUUUUAUUUUUUUAUUUUUUUUAUUUUUUAGGUGCGUGAUUUAAAUUUCUCUUGAUUUUCAAUUUCAUGAUAUUUAUUAAUAUUAAUCUUUAUUUUAUUUUUAUUUUAUUUUAUCUUUUUUUUUUUUUUUUUUUGAAUGAGGAAACGGUUGCCAUCUAUUUGGAGGGAAGAUCACCAAAAUUUUAGAGAAANNNNNNNNNNNNNNNNNNNNNNNNNNNNNNNNNNNNNNNNNNNNNNNNNNNNNNNNNNNNNNNNNNNNNNNNNNNNNNNNNNNNNNNNNNNNNNNNNNNNNNNNNNNNNNNNNNNNNNNNNNNCCAAUCGUUUGAUCCAACGUCAUGUUCAUUCAAUCAUUCUGGACAUUAAAGCUUCUGAUGUUGAAGUCUGAACNUACUUUCUGAACUGAGAAACGAUGUUGUGGAAUAUCUACUUUUAGUUCAUGCGUGCACCAUGCAAGGCGAUCAUUUUGGUCUCAGUUUCGAGAGUAGAUGGACGUAGUAGUCUCAGUACCUCCAAUGGUGAUUCGGGCUCUUCAUCAAGUGAUUCAGAUCCAGGCACUUCUUCAGAUGGUGAAUCAGAAGGUGUUUCCUCAAUUUUGGCAAUGGCCCUGCUGAAGAUAGUUAAUAUGGUCUUAUAACGAGGACUCCCUGCUCCAUAUAGGAGGAAGGUCUCGAUUUGAAGUAGAAGAAGGCAUGGUUUAAUUAGUGACCAAGAGGUAUCUGGUUUUCGAAACGGCUUGGUCCAGACUUUGCAGCUGUUAGUGGAGAUGUCUGGCCAAAAUUGCGUAUUCUAAAUUAUUUGACUGAAUUGUGGGCAAGACAAUUUAUUCCUCUUAUGACAGAUAGAUUGCAUUAGAAGAUGGGUGAUCCUUUAAAAGUCGUGAAUUCUGCCAUUGACCUCCACAAGAAGAUGAUUGAGAUGUGCUACUGAUGUUAAAACAGAACGGAUAUCAGAAGUCCUGUCACCAAGACUUUUGGCUUAUCACUUGUUGGUGAACUUGUCGGGACUUUCUGCCACCUCUCCCAUCUCCACGUCUGCAUGGCAUUCAUUAUUGCCAACAAUUCCAUGUACUCAAAUUCUGGAAGAAGACAGACCAACAAUUUGUGGAAAGAAAAAGAUCACUUCGAGUAACAUUAAUCGUUUAUGUCGUUAAUGAUCUGUGGUGUUCGAAUGAUGGAAAUGAUGGAAUUCCACGGGUUUAUAGUCUUAGCUGGCUAUGGAAAAUUAAUGGGUCACCCAGAUGUUGGGAUAUUUGAAGAGGCUUUCCAAUCCCUAGUGCUGGAGGAAUUACUGAUACAAGGCCCGGGUCAAAGAAUAGAUGGACUCGAGAAAAUCGAUAGCAGAUCAAUUCUCCAAGCUACGUCUAUCCCUACCUGCGAGUGAAUAGUUCAUUGAGUAGCCUCAAUAUAAUCUAGGACUUUAUGAAGGUUGUUUUCCAGUAACAGUCUUCUGAACCAUCAUGGCACAGAGUCGAUUUGGUCAUCAAAGACGAAGUGUUGCACUCACUAGCUUGGUCGAUUGGCACCAAUGCUGGCAAGUUUUNNNNNNNNNNNNNNNNNNNNNNNNNNNNNNNNNNNNNNNNNNNNNNNNNNNNNNNNNNNNNNNNNNNNNNNNNNNNNNNNNNNNNNNNNNNNNNNNNNNNACCAUAUUUGAAUUGUCUUGAUGUUUGUUUGAUCAUCUUUGAUAAAAUACAUGUAAUGUGUCAUAUUUCCAAACUAAUCUCUUAUGUUUUAUGAUAGCGCUUGAGAAGCUGUUCAGGUACGCACUUCGACUCUCUCUUAUGGUUUGUUUUCUUGUUAGGCAUGCAAUAUUUGAAAUCACCUAGCCUACUUAGGUAUCCAUAAUUAACUGACUAAUGGCCACACUUCCCUUAAUUUUGUCAGUAGAGACCUUUAUAGGGCUUAGAGGGGUGCUACCUCCUAGAGGUACCUUCCCAAUAAGUAACCUGAUCCCCGAACCAAGACUUGGGUUUUCAAAGACACGUUUUUCCAAAAAUUAUGGAGUCAUUUUUUUUAGGGUUUUAUUUCUUGUUUUAUUUUCCCUUCAAAAAUAAAAAUAAAAUAAGUGGCGACUCCAACUUUUUUUAAAAUCAAUUUUUCACAAUAAAAAGCGAGUCUCGCCGAUCGAGUGGGGACGCACGUGAAAGAUGCGGAUCCACACAAUGCAUAAAUCAAAUAUAAAAUAAAUGAGAACUUCCGUAACCAAACCCUCUUUUAAUAAUCUAGUCACGUUUUUCACAUUAUGAAACAAAGUAACAUAUGAGUUUCAUUAAACCAAUGAUUACAUGCACGCCAUCUACUACAUUUCUUUGCAUGUCAUAAUCCCUUCCUCAAUUGCGUCAUAUAUUUCCAAAAAAAGCUGUCAUUGCAGCUUUUUUUUUUUAUCUAAUUUUCCUACCUCUUUUGUUUUUAUUACACCAAUUCAAUUUGUGUAUGAUGAAAAUAUCAAAAGAAAACUAUGUUUCCAUACACUGUGUAUGAAAAAAAAACCAUAAAAUAGGAACUCAAGUUUAUAAAAUACAAAUUUCAAGUCGUUAUCUAAAAAUACUUAGCAUUUAUGUAUUUUUUUUUAUCAAAUAUAUUAUCUUUGACCAUUCAGGUACUCCUUUUAGUGAUAUAAGUACUACCUUCAACCAUUCUAAAUACACUACAUUUGAUCGGUGAACAUAUGAAACUUGAAUUAUUUUUACAGAGUUUCUAUUUUGUAAUUAUUUUUAUAUGAGUGUAUGGAACUCACUUUUUCCAAAUAUCAAUCUUGAAAAAAAAUAGUAGUAGUUAGCUAGCUUCACAAAAAUUAUGGAUGAAAAUUUUGCUAAAAAUAAAAAAUCACAAAAAUUGAUCAAAUAAUAUAAAAAUUUUAAUAAAAAACUUUGAAAAUGAAAGAGGAAUUAUUAAUACUUAUAUUAAGGUUGUUUUUUUUUAAAAUAAUAUAAGUAUAAUAAAAUUAUUCAUGUGGGUCUAUGAGAAGUAUGGUAAUUGAUCAAAAUAUAUGUAUAAACCUCAAAAUUUGUCCAAAUUUUUUAUUUUUACAUUAAUUUUGAACUCAAUUUUAUCCUUAAAUUUUAAAUCUUGAUUAUAAAUGAUAUUUUUUACCCACUCACCAUUUAAUUCUUAAUUUUUAUUAUUUUAUAUAUUGUUUUAUUUUAUUAUUAUUAUUAUUAUUAUUAUUAUAUUAUAUUUUUAUUUUAUUUUAUUUUUUUCUUCUUUUUAUUUUCUUUUUUUUCUCUCUCUCCUCUCUUCUCUCCCUUCCUACCUUCCCCAACCACCCCAAACCAUACCCCUUCCCCACUUUCUCUCAUCUCUUCCCUCUUCUCUCUUUUCUCCUCUCUUUUCUCAUUUCUCUUUUUUUCUUUUAGCUUUUUUUUCCACCUCUGACCAUACCCCUUCCCCACUUUCUCUCAUCCCUUCCAUCUUCUCUCUUUUCUCCUCUCUCUUCUCAUUUUUUUUUUUCUUUUAGUUUUUUUUUCUUCCAUUUUUUUAUUCUCUUUGCAGCCCUUCCCAAACAUUGCCACACCACACCUCGUCACCCACAUGUCCUCUUCUCCUCUCUUCAUUUUUCUACCCUAUUAUUUCUCCCAUUCUUCUCUAUCUUCUUCCUCCCCCCAACACCUACAUCUCCACCCGAACAACCACUUCCCAUCUUCAGUGGUCUCCAUCGCCAUUGUCGGUGGCAUGACGCCGGCGUCAUUUCAAAUCCCUUCCAUCCCUCAUUUUCUCCCAUUUUCUUAAUAUCUUCAUUUUUUUUUUUACUUUAUUAUUAUUAUUAUUAUUUUGUUUCCUAAAAAUCUAUCACCCCUCAUCGUCGUCGGUAAGACCACCAACCAGUUGCCGCCAACGAGCCAUUACCGACCGGCGACCCCUUCCUCUUUUCUCUCAUUCUCUCAUUCCCUCACUUUUCCAUCACACCCAUUCUCUCAUUCCCUCACUUUUCCAUCACACCCAUUUUUCAUUAUUAUUAUUAUUAUUAUUCAUUUUUCUUGAUUUGAUUUUAAUAGUAAUGGUUGUUUGUGAGAUUUGAAUUAUUAAAUAAAUAUGAAAUUUGAGUUUUGUUUAUUAUUAUGGAAUUUGGUUUAAUGUGUUAUUGGAUAAUUAAUAUGAAAUUUGGACUAAUUUAUUGUUGGUGAAUUAAUUUGGAAUUUGUUAAUUUGGGCUAGAUUACUUGAUAAUUUAUGUGGUUUUGUUCAUUUGAAUUAUUUAAUUUAAAUAUGAUAUAAUAUUAUGGUAUAUUUUGGAAGUGGGUUUGCAUAUUAAAUUGGGUUGAUUUUGGUUGUGGAUUUAGCUUUGCAUAUUAAAUUAGGCUUGGAUUAUGGGAUAUUAAAUUUAGGCCUAAUGAGAUUUAUUUUAAUUUAUCAUGUUUUGGAUUUAAUUAAUCGAGCUUAUAUUUUUGUUAUUAAUUUGAAAAUUUUAUAUUAGAGCCUAUGAGAUGUGAGAUAUUUUUGUUGGGUUAUAUUUACUAAUUUAGGCCUAUUUGAUUGACAAAAUUUAUCGGACUAAUUUGAAGUUUGGAUUUGGGCUCGAAUAUUUGUUUUGAACUUUGUACAUUUCUAGAUAUUUACAUUUUGACUAUUUUUGUUUUUGUAUGGACCCAUUUUGCAAUUUUGUUGGCUAAGUAUGUAUUUAUGACAUGUGGAACAUAGAAUUUCAUGGAAGAAAGUGAGAAUUAAAAAAAAUGUAGGAAGACAUUAAGCUUGUUAUCAGCUUAUUUGGGUAUAUGUUUUAUUUCUCACUUCUAUUUGAUUUUAUUUCUAUUGGUUUUUGCAAAUAUUUGUUUGUAUAUAUUUAUUUAUUAUAUACAGAAUUAGAUAUUAAACAAAUAAGAAAUUUUGUUUAAAUAAAAGGAAUAAUUUAGUAAAUAUGUUUUAAUAAAAUAAUAAUUUUAAAAUAUUCUUCUUAAUAAAAGAAAGUUUUUUUAUUAAUAAAAAUUUAGAAAAAUGUUUUUAGAAAAAUCCAAAAAAAAAUUGUUUUUAAUAGAAUUUGAAAAAUUAUUUUUAUAAUAAUUGUCCAAAAAAUUCUUUGUUUAAUAAAAAAAAUGUCCAAAAAUUGUUUUAUAAAUAAAGUUGUCCCAAAAAUUAAUUUUUAAUUAAAUUAUUUUUGAAAAUAAAGUUAUAUUUUUUUUUAAUAAUUUGUAUAAGUCACUUUUCUUAAAUGAAAACAAAUUGAAAUAUUCAUGUAAAUAAAAUUGUAAAAAUUCAUUCAUUUUUUUGUAAAAACAAGUAAAAAUAAUUUUUGUUAUCAAAUUGAAAUUUUGUAAUAAAUUAUUUUGAUACAAUAUGUGUAAAUAACUUCUUUUUUUAAAAAAAAAAAUUAAAUACAAAUGAAAUUGAAUCAAAUCACUUAAAGAAAAUAUUUUGUAAAUCAAUAAAUUGAAAUCACUCAUUCAAAAUUGUUUUUAAUAAAAUCAUUUCACAUUUUCAGAAAACUAAUUUUUUCAAAUAUUUUUUUAAAUUAGUUCAAUAAAUCAAUUUGCAUAAUUAUAUUGUCAUUUAUUUUGUACAUUCUUAUAAUUUUAUUUUGUCAUCAUCUUUGUAUAUAUUGUUUCAUUCAUUUAAUUUUGGUAUUCAUAAUUAAUUAAUUAAUUAUCACAAUUUCCUUAAUUCUUUUAGUAGAGAUCGUAUGUAUAUGAGUUUAGAGAAGUGCUACGAUUCACCACCGUAUCUUCCCAAUAGGUAACUUGACCCCUGAAACCAGAUUCGGUUUUUACAAACAUGUCUUUUUCAAAUAAGGAGUCACACAGGGUUUUCUUUCUUAUUUUGUUUUCCCUUUAAAAAAAUAAAACAAAAAUAAGUGGCGACUCCAAAUAUUUUUCAAAAAAAUCAAAUUUUCACCAAAUAAAUGAAAAGUGAAUCUCGUUGUCGAGUGGGGACGCACGUUAAAAACACAGGUCCACAAUAUGCUUUGAACGUAAAUACCCCAUUUAAAUAUUAAGAUAAAAUUGUGAUGUUUUUUUAAUUUUAAUAUUUAAAAACAUAUUUAUUAUAUUUAAUACAAAAAUCCUAGAAAAAUCAUAAUUUUUCUUUUUUUUUAAUAUUUAUAAUUUUCUUUGGAAGUUUGUAUUUAAUUUGACCUUAACUACAAAGACAAAAAAAAAAUUGUAUGUCAUCUUGGUGAAUUUUAUAUCUACAACAUAUAAUUGGAUGAAAUCUAAUAGAAGUAGUUGAUAUUUACUUCUUUAUUAUUUUUGGUAAAAAAUCAUUUAUUAUCUAUUUAAAUGUUUUUUUUAUUUUUUUAUUUUUUAAAAAUAAAAAAUUUUAAUAAAUUAUUUAUAAAAAGUAGAACAUCUUGUGUAAAAAGAAAAAAAAUUACCUUAUAUAUAUAUUUAAAAAUCACUUUCAAAGUUUUUAAAUAUUGAAAUAAUAACCUCAAUUUUUUGGAACAAUUUUUAAAACUAUUACCUUUUUAUUAUAAAUCUUUAAAAAUUCUUAUACUUUAACUUUAUAUAAAAAGCAAUUCUUACACUUUAUAUAUAUAUAUAUAUAUAUAUUGUGAGGGAAAAAUAAUGCAUAAAUGAAAGUUUAGGUCAUGAAAAAAGUUAUUUCAUUUCUUGAUAUGAUAAGUUUAUGAUAAAGAUAAAUAAAUUUUUAAUGAGUUAAAAAAAAAUUAUGUAAACUGAGUCAAGUUCUUGUGAGUAUUUUUGUUAGUACAUUAUAUUGAGUAGUUUAAGUUUAAAAUUUUGCUUCAUUGGAACUUAUUUUGUUUAUUGUAUCUUACUUUCCUUUGAAGUCUCAAAGGUUGUAUGAUCAAUGGAUCAAAAUUGUAUAGAUAAAUAUAGAAAGGUUUUCGAAAAAAAGACUAAUUUGAUUAAAAUGUUGCAUAAAGUGGAAUUUAGGAUUUCUAAUUGAGCAGAAAUGCUUUUAAUUAUUUAAAAUUAAAAACUAAUCAAACUUUUAAGCACUUAAACAAUUGGAGCCCGAGUGCUAAGGGUGCUCAAGCUGUAGGGCGUUCAAGCGCUUCUUCAAAUAACUCAAGAGUUGCGCUCAUGCACUAUUAAGAGUUGUUCAAUUGCUAGAAGCACUUAAUCACUUCCUCCAAGCACUUGAAGGUUUGAAGAGAAUUUUUUUUUGUAUCCUGAUUUGUUUUAGUUCUUUCUAAUUUUUAAAAAGUCAUUUUUGGAAACUUUAAAAUUUUGUCCACUAAACUUUCAUCCUAUGUAUGAAAAUCUUUUUGUUUUGAGGCAAAUUUUACGAAAAGUUAUUGGCUUGUGGACGUCUGACCCUUCUCUCAUCUCUUCCAAAUUCUCUCCUCUCACUUUCCUUUUUCUUUUUCAUUUUUUUGCUUUCCAUUGAAGAUGGCCGAGUAAAUUUUUUUUUUCUGCCUCCCUUUCUCUGGUGGCCCUGCCCCCAUUUUUUUCUUCCAUCUUUUUUCUCCGCCCCAACACCUAUUCCCAACGGCCACACGCCCUCCUACCCUUAUCACUUCUUCCCCCAUUUUUUAUUUAUUUUUACUUUUUUCUUCUUCUCCCACCCAUUUUUUUUCCAAUCUUUUUUCAUUUCUCUUCCUCCAUCAUACCCAACUUCCAGAGAGAUCUGAACCUGACUUCCUUUCCUUAUUCCCUUUUAUCUCAUCUUCUUCCUCUCAUUCUCCUUUUUUUUUUUCACAUUAUUUUAUUAUUAUUAUUAUUUUUCAAAAAAUCCAUCAACUCUCAUUGUCAUCGAUAAGAUCAUCGGCCAGUUGUCACCAACGAGCCACUGCUGGUCAGCAACCCUUUCUUCUUUUCUCUCAUUCCCUCACUGUCUCAUCACUCCUGUUUCCCAUUAUUAUUAUUAUUAUUAUUAUUAUUAUUAUUAUUAUUAUUAUUUAUUUUUCUUGAUUUAAUUUUAAUAGCAAUUGUUAUUUGUAAUAUUUGAAUUAUUAAAUUAAUAUGAUAUUUGAGUUUUGUUAAUUAAUAUGGAAUUUGGGUUAAUUUGUUAUUGGAGAAUUAAUAUGAAAUUUGGGCUAAAUUAUUGUUGGUGAAUUAAUUUGAAAUUUGUUAAUUUGAGUUAGAUUAGUUGAUAAUUUAUAUGGUUGUAUUCAUUUGAUUUAUUUAAUUUAGAUAUGAUAUAAUAUUGUGGUAUGUUUUGGAUGUGAGUUUGCACAUUAAAUUGGGUUAAUUUUUGUUGUGAAUUUAGGUUUGCAUAUUGAAUUAGACUUGGAUUAUGAGAUAUUAAUUAAAUUUAGCCUAAUAAGAUUUAUUUUGAUUUAUCAUGUUUUGGGUUUGAUUAAUUGAGCUUGUAUUUUGACUAUUAAUUUGAAAAUUUUAUAUUAAGAGGUCUAUGACAUGUGAGAUAUUUUUGUUGGGUUAUAUUUGCUAAUUUGGGCCAAUUUUGAUUGAUUUGAAGUUUGAAUUUGAGUCUGAAUAUUUAUUUUGAGAUUUUGUAUAUUUUUGUAUAUUUACAGUUAGACAUUUUUUGUUUUUGCAUGAGCUUAUUCUACAAUUCUAUUGGCUGAGUAAGGAUUUAUGACACGUGGAACACGGAAUUUCAUGGAAGAAAGUAAAAAUCAAAAAGCUGUAGGAAGACAUUAAACUUGUUGUAAACUUAUUUGGGUACAAGUUUUAUUACCUACUUUUAUUUAGUUUUAAUUUUAUUGGUUUUUAUAAAUAUUUAUUUAUAUAUAUUUAUUAAGUGUGUAUAGAAUUAAAUAUCGAACAAAUCAGAAAUUUUGUUUAAAUAAGAGGGAUAAUUCAGUAAAUAUAUUUUAAUAAAAUAAUAAUUUUAAAAUAUUCUUCUUAAUAAAAGAAAGUUUUUUAUUAAUAAAAAUUCAGAAAAAAUGCUUUUAAAAAAAUCCAAAAAAAAAUUAUUUUUAAUAAAAUUUGAAAAAUUGUAUUUAAUAAUAAUUGUCCAAAAAUUUCUUUGUUUAAUAAAAAUUGUCCAAAAAUUGUUUUGUAAAUAAAGUUGCCCCAAAAACUAAUUUUUAAUUAAAUAUUCUUUUGCAAAUAAAGUUAUAUUUUUUUAAUAAUUUGUAUAAGUCACUUUUUCUUAAAUGAAAACAAAUUGAAAUACUUUUGUAAAUAAAAUUGUAAAAAAUCUUUUUUUUUCUAGUAAAAGCAAAUAAAAAUAAUUUUUGUGUCCAAAUUAAAAUUUUGUAAUAAAUUCUUUUGAUACAAUAAGUGUCAAUAACUUUUUUGAAAAUUAAAUACAAAUGAAAUUGAGAAAAUAAAUUGACUAUUUUUUGUAAAUAAAUAAACUGAAAUCAUUAAUUCAAAAUCAUUUUUAAUAAAAUCCUUUAAGAUUUCUUGAAAACUUUUUUUUAAUAUAUUUUUUAUUUAGUUCAAUAAAUCAUUUUUCAUAAUUCUCUUGUUUUUUAUUCUGUGUAUUUUUAUAAUUAGAUUUCAUCAUUAUUUUUGUGUAUAUUGAUUUUCACCAUGACUUGUACAUACUCAUUUGUAUGAUUAUUUUUCUAGGUAAUUAAUUGUUACAAUUUUCUUAAUUCGUUUAGUAAAGGUUAUACGUAUACGGGUUUAGAUGGGUAUUACGGUUCAUCAUCUUACCUUCCCAAUAGGUAACUUGACUCUCGAAUUUAGAUUAUGUUUUUAUAAACAUGUCUUUUUCAAAUAAAGAGUCACAUAGAAUUUUCUUUCUUAUUUUGUUUUAUCUUUAAAAGAAAAUUAAAAUAAGUGACGACUCCAUGUCUUUUUCUAAAAAUCAAUUUUUUACAAAUAAAUGAAAAAUAAGUUGCCAUGCGAGUGGAACACAUGUAAAAAAUGCGAGUCCACGGUGGUUUUCACAUAAAUAAUUAUAAAAAUAUGUUUUAAUUUAAAUUUUCACAUUCCUCGUUUCUAACGGAUCCAAAAAAAUUAUUUUUCAUAAAAAUGAUUGUGAUAUUUAUUUAUGAAAUAUAUUUAUUUUUAAUAUUCUUUCAAAAAUUAAAAUAAAUAAAUAAAUAAUGGGGCAAGGGCAGUGGGCACGUUCAUCUAAUUGUCUUUUACGAUUUAAAUAAUGGGGACGAGAUUGGUGGCCUGUCAUAGUCAUCACCUGCCCUGCCUGUCCUCCAAAUCCCUUCCCCAUUUACAAGCUAACCACAACUAGUGUUUCAAUUUGCUCCCUUUUUUUAUCAUCCGCUUCAAUAUUCAAUUAUGUGUCCACCGCAGAUGCGUUGUCAGUCUUCCGCCAAAUCCGUGUCAUAGCCCCGGAUUUCCAUAUACAUAUUUAUCACACCAAGGUCAUGGUCCUCGUGGAUCUGAGCUUCAAGCGGAAGGUGAAAAACAUUUGAGGCCAGACCUAUCAGUCUAAGGUUCUCUCUUCACAGGUCUCACUCUCAGCUAUACAUGGAGGAACCAGGGGAAGCAGCAAGCCUUGGUAGCUCUCUGUUGGUCCCUUCUGUUCAGGAGCUGGCAAAGGACUCACUCACCACUGUCCCACCACGAUACCUGCGUCCUGAACAAGACCCUCCAUUCUCAUCCCAGAGUACUUCUCAAACUCCUUUACCUCAUAUCCCCAUCAUCGACUUCCACUGCUUUGCUUUCCGGAGAUGGCAUGGAGUCAGAACUGGAGAAGUUGCACCAUGCCUGCAAGGAAUGGGGUUUCUUCCAGGUACGGAUGCAUAGUACUUACUUGCAUAAAGGAUUAUUAGCAAACUGGACUCUUCAAAUCAAAACUCAUACCAAGAAAACCGAAGUUUCAAGAUCCAAAAAAAUUCAUGAAACACCCUGCAAAGAUUUGUUUUGUUUUGUUUUUCGAUUUAGCAUUCACCCAAUAAUUGAAUUCUCAAGAUUAUGGGUGAUUUUAGAUAAGCCCAGAUGACCUGUUUCUCCCUUUGAUUAUCACAAGAAAGAUUUCAAAUCAAAUAAAUCAAAAAAAAAUAUUUGAAGACAAAUAGGGUCUUGGACCAUGUCAAGAGGGAAAUUAAAGAACAAAUAAAUAAGUUGAUUUAAAAGAAACAUUUUUAAAUAACAAGAUAUCACCUGGAUUAUAUCCGCAUAUAUCUCUUCCUUGUCUGUCGUCUUCAAAUAAUAAUAACCAUUAACUUCUUUCCAUUAAAAAAGAAUUAAUAGUAAUACUAUAGGUGACGAAUCAUAUAAAUUGCAGUUGAAAAAUCAUAGAGUCAGCAGUAGUUUGAUGGAGAAAGUAAAGGCAGAAAUACAAGAAUUCUUCAAUCUCCCAAUGGAAGAGAAGAGAAAGUUCUGGCAACAACCGGGACAAAUAGAGGGAUUUGGACAGGCAUUUGUUGUCUAUAUCUGAGGAGCAGAAACUUGACUGGGCAGACCUCUUCUUCAUGGUCACUCUUCCACCCCAUUUGAGGAAACCACACUUAUUCCCUAAGUUACCUCUCCCAUUCAGGUACUGGAGAAGGAUCUCUCUCUCUCUCUCUCUCUCUCUCUCUCUCAAAUAUAUUUCUAGUAAUAAAAUUUUGGAAGCAUCUUCAAUAGAUUACACCGCUUGGGCAUAUAUAACUCAAUUAGUUCAAUGUAUAGCUUUGUUAAAGGCUUGUUCGAGAACAUAUUUGACUUUUAUAUUACCAUCUUUGUACCAAUUAUGUUUUAAAAAUGGUUUUAUAAAGGGAAUGAUAAUUUUGAUAUAUUUAAAUUUUUAAUUAAAUAAAAAUUUACUUUCUAUAUCACGUUUGGAGAAAAACAUGGAUGUGCCUACUUAUCCGAACAAGAAUAAAUUAUGUUAAAAGAUAAAAACUCCAUUGACCUUCAUAUGUACGUUUAAGCAUCUUUCCUUUUCAUGUAGGGAUACCUUGGAAGUUUACGCAGUUGAACUGAGAAAUCUUGCCAUGGCAAUACUUGGCUUCAUGGCAAAAGCUCUAAAAAUGGAAGCUAAGGCUAUGAAAGCACUUUUUGAAGAAGGGCUUCAGUCCAUGAGGAUGAAUUAUUAUCCCCCAUGUCCACAACCUGACCAAGUCAUUGGCCUAACCCCUCAUUCGGAUUCGGUGGGUUUCACCCUACUUCUACAAGUCAAUGAAAUGCAAGGCCUCCAGGUAAGGAAGAAUGGGAUCUGGAUUCCUAUUAAGGCCCUUCCUGAUGCUUUUGUUGUCAACAUCGGAGACAUUUUGGAGGUAACAACAGCUUCUCAUUCUUUAACCAUUAGUAUAUUUUGAUUGGCCAGGCUGCGGAUUCUGUAAUAGCUUCACCAAGUUCCAGCUCAAUUGAAGAACCAAUCCUAGGCUAUAGCCUGACAUGGGUCUAGGCCCAUUUUGAUCCCAAUAACGACAAGUACCCUAAAUUCUAAACUCUAAACCCUUGUGCCAUGGAACAAUUUUUUCAGAAUUUGUUUCGAAAACACUUAUAUUAUAAAGAAUAGGUCACGAAAACUGUUUCUCAUAUAUGAGUACUAAACAUAAUUUCAUUUUGUUUUCGAAAACGUUUCCAAACAAGUUUGGAAACUUCUCCAAAAAGUCUCUGAUUUGUUUCCCCCCAUGGUUUGAUAGAUUGUGACCAUCGAGCAUCGUGCGGUUGUCAACUCCGUCAAGGAGAGGCUCUCGAUCGCCACAUUUUACAGCCCAAAACUCGAAGGGGAUAUUGGUCCGGCGCCUAGCCUUGUCACUCCACAUUCUCCGGCUCUCUUCAAAAAUGUGAGUGUUGCAGAUUACAUAAAGGGACUAUUUUCACGCGAACUCCAUGGAAGAUCAUACCUUGACGUCCUGAAGAUUGACAGUGAAGCAGAAAGCAAUUGAGAUCAUACCUCGAAGGUAUUUGUAUGCUAUGUAAAAGAAAAUAAACUUGGACGUAGAAUUAAGACCUUUAAUUCAUAUAUAAAGUUUGAGAAUGAAAUAAGAGUAUUAGUAAAGGAUAACGGCAAGAUUUCGAUCAAAUUGAAGGAUGGAUAACAAAGUUUUAUCUCUAAUGUAUCAUAUGUUCCAAGUCUUUACCAAAAUCAAUUGAGUGUAAGCCAAUUUUGAGACAAAGGGUAUGAUAUGCAAAUUUAUAAAGGUGUCUAUACUAUUAAUGUAAGGUAAAAAUGACACGAGAUUGUUUAAUUCUAUUAAUUAUUAAUUAUGAAAAUUAUCUUACUUUAGUUUUAUAAUUGACAAUAAGAAUGAGUUAUGAUACUUAUGUUUUGAGCAUUUAAAUUUUGAAAGUCUAAAAUUACUUAUUGCUAAGAAUAUCUAUUGUGAAAUAUGCAUUUUAGGACGGAAGCAUAAAAAUCCUUUUUCAAGCCAUAGCCACCUUAUAUGCCUUUUUAGCUAAUAAUUGUAUAAGUAUAAAUGUUUCAAAUCUAAUGGUUUCACCAUGUAGGAGUAGGACCCAUUGGGAUAUAAUGUUAAGGAAAAUUGAGCACAGAGGUGCUUUUCCACAUAUACUUUUUUUUCUCUCAUAAAAUACGAUGCCGUUUAUUUUCAACAAUCUUAAGUUUGAACCCUGUAUGUCUAUAUAUAUAUAUAUAUAUAUAUAUAAGAAAAAUAUUGCAAAUACUUGUGAAAUCAACCAAUUCAGAAUCCUAACAAACCGCCAUUGACAAGUGCAAAAUGCGUAUGAGUGGCGCUUUGGGAAGAAGAGUGAAAUGAAUACUAGUAAAGUAAGUGUUAAAAGGGUAUGACACAAAAUCGAAUGCUACCUUCCACUUUUGCGAGGGAGUGCCGACUGAAAUGAAUAGGAGAAAGCAUCUUUAAUUAUCUUAAAUUCUUAAUUGAUAUGAUUCAUUUUGAUAAAACAACAUUGCAUUUGAUAUUUAUAUUUAUUAAUUCCACGAGAAGAGGUUUUCUUACAAAAUAAUGAGAAUUGUCAAGUAUAUUUUAUAUUCUAAAUUACUGGAAGAAAAUGCUAUGAAAUGGGAUGGAUUUAUAAAAUUUAUGCUUAAUUAGAAAUCACAAUGAAAUAGGCUAACCCUAUUUAUUAAUUCCAGGAGCCCAUUAUUUGUCCUCAACCCUAUUUGAUAAAACUAUAUAUCUCCGUGUAUGUUGAUGACAUUAUUAUCACAAGUGAGGAUGCUUCCAUAGGCUAACGCUUUGUGAACCUUCUUGCCUAAUGGCUUUUACUCAAGGACUUUGCCUCUCUUGCUUACUUCUUGGGUGUUGAAGUAAUUUUAAACCAAAAUGGGCUACUUUUAUCUCAAUGACCAUACAUUAUGGAUUUUCUUGUCUGCAUUAAGAUGACUAACACAAAACUUGUCUCCACACAACUUCUUAGAAGUCUGUCACUCUCCCUUCACAUUGACUCCACUCUUUCUGAUCCAACUGAAUAUCAUGUUGUUGUUAGAAGUUUGUAGUACUUGUGUCUUACACGACUUAACAUAGCAUUUACGGUAAACGAACUAUCUCAAUGCAUGCAUCAACCCACUAUCGAACAUUGGACUCAUGCCAAGCACCUAUUGUGCUAUCUAUGUGGUACUUCUGAUCAUGGCAUGUUACUUUACUAGGACUCUCCAUGUGCUCUACAUGCUUUCUCCAAUGUUGAUUGGGUAAGCAAUAAAGAUGAUUUCUUAUCCACUAAUGCUUACAUCAUGUAUCUUGGACACAAUCUAAUCUCUUGGAGCCUCAAGAAACAAUGCAUAGUUGCCCAUUUUUUCAUAGAAGUCGAAUAUCUAUUUUUUGUCGCUACUGCUCCCCAACUUAAUUAAGUAUGCUCUCCAUUAAUUAAACUACAUGUUUGGAUUCCUCACACACCUAUGAUUUUUUGCCACAAUGUUUGUACAAUGCAACUAUGUUCUAGCCUUGUGUUUCACUCUCAUAUGAGGCAUCUGGCCAUUGAUUUUCAUUUCAUUCAUUAUCAUAUUUAAAAUGGUGUUCUUUGUGUUGCUUGUGUGUUGUUAGAAAAUCAACCACCAGAUGCUGUAACAAAACUACUACAUCAUAGUUGCUUUCUUUCUUUUAAGACCAAGACUGGAAUCUUCGAUCAAAACUCCAUCUAGUAAGGGCAUGUUAGUAAAAAAUAAUAUUUAUUUUUAAUCUAAAUAUUAAUAUUUAUUUAUUAUUAGUUUAAAUUAGAGCAAAAGAUAGACAUGUGCUUGAAUUAGAAUACAAGAUAGAGCUUGAAUUAGAGUAGGAUAUAGACUUGCAUAAAAUUUAGAAUACAAAAUAGAGUUUGAAUUAGAGUAGAAAAUAGACUUGUUCUUUAUUUAAAUAUUCAUCAAUCACCAUUAAAAAAAGUUAUGUUUUCUCUAUUAUCUUCUUUUUCUGUAUUACUACCAAGUCAUGUCAUUUAGUAAGAAACAUGCAUAUGUUGGAGCAACUUUCCAAAUUCUAAUGACCAAGAUAUUUGAGUGGUAGAUCGGGAGACAAGUCAUAGUGUACGUGGACAAUCUAUUGGUAAAAAGGCAAAGAAGUAGAAUCACAAGUCAAAGACUUAAUUGGAGGAGGUAUUCUAGACAUCAAGCUCAGCUCAACCCAAUCAAGUGCACCAAGCGGCUAAAUUUUGGGGCUUCGAUCUAUUUAGUAGCUAGAAGAGGAAUCAAACUAUACCUUUAACAAAUUAAGGCAUUUUUUCAUGUGAAACCACUAGCCAAUCAAAGGGGAGUAUAGGAAUUCACAAGGAAAAUUGCUACAUUGUCUAAAUUUGUAUCUGGACCAGCGUAUCAUCGUGAAGCAAUUUUGUAUCUUUGUACUUCUGAAGAAAAAGAGGAAUAUAAAGUGAUCAAGAAUUAAACAACUAAAAGAGCACCUAUCAAGGUUGCCAAUUCCCUCUACACCUUAUUCGGAAAAGGUACUCUAUUUAUCUAAUUGUUUUCUUAAUAAAUUAGUACUAUUCUUUUUGGAAUAGAGGAUAGAGUGGAAAAGUAUGUCUUAUCAUAUUAGCAAAGGUAUGGUGGCAGAUAAAGUGCGAUAUACCGCUCUCAUUACCUUUGUUUUAGCACUCUUGAUUGUUAAGUGAAAGCUUCGACCUUAUUUUCAGGCCCACUACCGCACUCACUACCUCUUCAAUGAAAUGCGUACUCAAAAGCUAGAUUUGUUGGGUUGAAUGCUAUAUGCUGGUCGAUCGAACUAAAUGAAUUUGAUAUCAUUUGCAGAUCACGAACCACCCUUAAAGGGGCAUGCAGGUACUACCUGACUUUGUAGCAUAAUUCACCGGGUGGGUGUGCGGGGUGGGAGAAGUGGGAGGGAUGGGAAGAGCACAAGCAAGAUACGAAACAAAAAGAGGAAGAACAGUUCAUGAGGGUGCUAUGUGUAGACGAAGCAUCUAAUUUGAAAGGUGCCCGUACGUGCAGGAAUAUACAUGGACCAUAUUUGUCAUAAUUGAGAAAGGUGUUACUCUAGGAUUUGAAGCCUCGAACGAUGAGGCCAAAUAUGAAGCACCCAUUCAUGGAAUUAAAAUGGCCCUGACAUUGAGGGCCACAAAGCUCCAAGUCUAUGCAUCCAAUGCCACAAAAUUAGGAUUAAUCCAGAGAAGUGAAGGUAAUUAAUGAGGUUUAUUAACUAGGAUAUUUCAGUUUCAUCAGUUAUAGUACAUAAUUUUACGCAGUCGCACGCUAAUUUUUUUUUAUUUAUUUGCAUUGUCUUGGCUAUGCUAUCUUCCAAACUCCGCACCAACAAUCAGGUUAAAAACUUUCUAGGCAACCUACUUUUGUAGUGUAGGCAGCUUUUUCGUCAUAGUCACCCAACUAGGAUGUCGAAAAUCAUUAUGAUUAGAAUGGUUCACAAAGAACACAACCAAGACUUAUCCAACCUCUCUUGCUCUUCCUUUUCCCUGUGUUGUUGCUCAUGUCCUAAUCUGUCCUGUUUUUCUCUGAGUAUUCUCUCCUGAGCAUCUUCCAUAGAUUUCUCAUCUUUCUCCAGUCUCACACCUUCUCUACCUCUAGCAGCGUUUUUAUUUCACUCUUCCUUGCUAUUUUCUGCAUGUCUGAAUUUAGCCUCAGCUCUACCCAUAGCCUCCUUCAUAACAGCAACAGCUGAGUUUGUCUCCAUUUCUCCACAAGAAAGAACAUCCUCAUGUUCAGUAUUAUUUUGAGUCCUAUCCAUGAUAAAACGCUCAAACUCAUCAAUUUGAGACAUGUCUGAGCUUCUCACUACAGCGGGGACUGACUUGCAACUCUGGAAAUGCUGAGAGGAAUAAUGGAAGGAACAAAACUCGCUAGCCUUUUUUCUAUGAUUUGUAGAACUAACAGAACCUGUUUCUGGCUUUGAAACCAAAGUUGGUCUUAGAGGACGGGGUCUUGAAGGUGGUGGAGCACAUGUUGGUUGUGUAAAGAGAUGAAUUUAUGAUACAAUUAACCAUAUAUUAUCCGAUAAAUCCAAGUUUUUUUUUCAGAUCUUACAGAGACAUCUACUUGGGAAUUUUUCUCCUUAGGGCCAACAUUUGGAUAUGAAAGAGUAGAAGCAAUUUUGACAAACAAAUUUAUGAGAAUUGGUUGAAUCCAUUGGCAUGUCAAAAAGAUUUUCUCUAGAUUCCCUAUAAUUGUUAACCAUCUUCCUUUGUGUGUGGUUCUCAGAAAUUGUAGGGACCACCCUUAAGCGUACACGUGGCAGACCACCCUGGCCUCACAAGGCACUCCUUUGAUGGACACGUGACACGUCCCACCCUUUGUCUGGACGUCCAAUCCGGACCUAGUAGUUGUUGUCCCAAACAGGAUCCCUGACCAUAUUUCAAGGGCAAUCAUUACUCAUUUCGCUAAAAGCAUACUCGACAGGACAUUCCCAGGUCUUUUCAGGCGACCUACUACGACCUGCCCUGCACCGCCUGUAGAGUGAAAAGACAAGUGGGACGACAAAUCAUUCCUCCAACAAUCUCUGUCAGUUGCCUGCAGUAUAAUGAUGGCUCAGCCACCUUCUGAGCACCAUCAUGAUUGCGAAAGUCAAAGAGCCUUCCCACCUUCAAAGUGACGGGGCUCUAGACACUAUAAAAGGCCCUCGACGACCCAGUCAAAGGGAGAGGAAAGUAUUCCUUAGAAAGCCCUUAGAAUACCACGAUGUUGGAUUGCCAAACUGACAAAAGCUUCGAAGGGUGUGUCGGAACCACCUGUCCAAACAUUUUUUGUAGGAAAAUAGAAGGAUGCAUCGUUCUCAGUUGAGGGGGCGAAUACUUCAGGGAGCUACAGUGCCUCUGGGACAUCCCCACAUCAACAAUAAUCACUACCUCUUCAAUGAAAUGGGUACUCAGCAAUAGGCUAGAUUUGUUAGGUUGAAUGCUAUAUGCUGGUCAAUCGAACUCAAUGAAUUUGAUAUCAUUUGCAGAUCACGAACUACCCUUAAAGGGGCAGGUACUACCUGACUUUGUAGCAUAAUUCACCGGGCAGGCGUGCAAGGUGGGAGAAGGGGGGAGAGAUGGGAAGAGCACAAGCAAGAUACGAAACAAAAAGAGGAAGACCAGUUCAUGAGGGUGCUGUGUAGACGAAACAUCUAAUUUGAAAGGUGACCGUACGUGAAGAAAUAUACAUGGACGAUAUUUGUCAUAAUUGAGAAAGGUAUUACUCUAGGAUUUGAAGCCUAACAAUGAGGCCAAAUAUGAAGCACUCAUUCAUGGAAUUGAAAUGGCCCCGACAUUGAGGGUCACCAAGCUGAAAGUCUAUGUGUCUAAUGCCACAUAAUUAGGACUGUAGCAAUUUGAGUAAUUUUGAGCUGCAUGCACUUAAUCUAGAGAAGUGAAGAAUAAAAGAAAAAACACCUUACAACACUUAAGCAGAGGUACUAAUGAGGUUAUUAGCUAGGAUAUUUCAGUUUCAUCAGUUAAGACUACAUAAUUUUAUAUAGCCGCACGUUAAUUUUUUUUAUUUGCAUCAUCUUGGCUAUGCUAUCUUCCCAAGUGCUCCGCAGGGUCAAUCAGGUUAUAAACCCUCUAGGCAACCUACUUUUGUAGUGUAGGCAGUUUUUUUUUGUCAUAAUCACUCAACUAAGAUGUCGAAAAUCAUUGUGAUGAUUAGAAUGAUUCACAAAGAACACAGCCAAGACUUAUUCAACCUCUCAUACUAAAGGUACAUGGAUAAAGUAAUUUGGGUAGAAUCAAUGGAACAUGAAAUAUAUGAUUCCUAAAUUAUAGAUCCAUCCAUCCUACAGAUCUAUCUGUUGGCGUAUUUUCACAUAUAUGAAUUGUCAGGUGCAUCUACAAUGAUAAAUGCCCACCAGUGGGCUGCCAGCAUGGUAAAAGUCAAGCACAGACAAGCAAAAAGAUUAUAAUCAUCCACUCCAUAGUAGUAUAUUAAUUAAACAUACACGCACUCAGCCAAUAAUGCCAACUCUACUUUCCUGUAGACAUUGAGAAUGACGAUACCUCAAGUGGAUAAAUUAAUGGAAAUCAAAAUGAUUAAAUCAAUACGAUAUUUAUAGGCGGAAUCAAAUUAAUAAUUGUUCGGUCAAUAUAUAAAACUAGUGUACAUAUGAUAUGCAGAAAGCAGUAUAUGCCAACAAAAUAUUAUCUUGAGUAGUGCAUGCUAGCACGUAGCACAAGGUUUCUCACAAACACCAUGAAGGUUGAUUGGAAGAAUUUGAUUUAUUUUAAUGAGUUACGAAACCUCCUAAUAGAAUUAUUACAACGAAGGAGCCCACUAACGAGCCUUCCACCAUUAAUAGAUUCUUACAAAGUACGAAAGGAAGCAACAUAUUCUUUCUAAAGAGAACCUGAAUUAAUGUCGACAUUCCAGUGGGAGACCCCCAGGGAAGCGCUUCAUAUCACUACAAUAGUUGUAUAUCAUGUAAUUCUUCUGCACCCAUUGAAGUUUUCUUCGGCUUUUUGCAUCCAAUCCUUGGUUCUGCCAUGCAAUAUUUGAGACUGGACUCGUAAACUUGGAAGCACAGGAUGAUGAACCAUGAGACCACAGGCAGGCUGCAGCAUUGAAGUUUCUAUAGGAGGCUGUGAAGGGAGCCUUAGACCAAUCGAUUUUCACGAGGCCGCCUCUUGUUGCCCAGUCAUCAGCAUUCCACAGGCUUGAGUAAAUCCUCAUGGGUUGGGACUUUGGGAAGGGAACUCCAAUGGAUUCUUGAUUCUUGAAUUCUCUGAUUGGGAUGUUGUCUACUAGGAAGCUGAAAAGAGAAGAUGUUAGUGAAGAAUACAAACCCUUUCACCUGCUGAAAGGACGUGAAAAUAGUAGUGUAGCAGCUAGCCUUUUGACUUAAGUGCUAAUUACCAUCUCAUGAAAUAUUAAAGAAAAAUGAAUUUAGGAAGUGACAAUUUUACAUGAUGUUUUGGAGGUUCCAUAUAAUAGAGUAGGUGUGAAAAUUUUCUGUUGGGUCAAACCAGAGGUAGAACUGCUGCUCUCUAUUCCCUUUCCCUUGCGUAAACACAUUAGUAUGGAGAAUAUACGGGUCUCCGCUAAGGUUCCCCAAGAACUCAAAAUCAAUCUCGUCGUGUGUUGGGCCUUGAGAAGAUAACUGCCACACGAUGUGAUAUUAGCUUUGAUAACACAAGCUUAAUCAAGAAGGGAGAAAGUGGUACUGAGGUGCCUUACAUAGUAUGCAGUGACGGUGCCUGCAGAAUUUCCAGAAACAAGCUUGAGUUGCAUGUCAAUCUUUCCAAACAGAUACUCCUUUUUGGAUUGGAAGCCCGAGCCGGAGGCCUUAUCAAGAGAAAGAGUGAGAAGCUUUUCUCCAUCCAGUAUUUUUGCACGAUGAUCACCCCAGGUUAAGUCGAAGUCUUGGUAGAAACUACCUGCAGAAGCAGCCAUAAUUGAACUAACAAAGACAGAAAAUAAAAGCAUUGAUGAAAUGUUAAGAGAGAAGCAAGGUGCCAUCUUUUGAUAGACAGGCUAGAGAUGAUAGCACUGAUGUGUGGACAUUAAUGAGAAGGCUUUAUAUAGGCAGGCAUUGGGAGAAGCGUGAAGUACAUAAACACUAACAACUACGGAGGGAAUAGAGCUGGCAUGGUUUAGCUUUUGCUUUCGAAGUGCACCAUGGGGAGAGAAACCUUCACUAACUUUUGAUGCCAAGUUGGUUGGUUUUGUAUCAAAAUACUUGUGAUGGGUCCGACUUUGAUUAUGGUUUGGCCUUUUGUUUCACUCACCAAACCAAUGAAAUCAUGUAUAUCCAAAUAUAUUAUAUACAAACCCAGCCUACCUAUAUACACCCUAGCUUGACUGGUGUUUCUUAACCACUUUUUUAAGGCCCGGCCUGAGGUCAUUGAACUGGAACCACUAAAUUAAUUAAACCCAACCUGUGACCCACCUCCUGUUAGUGAUGCAAUUAAUUAGGGAAAAAGUUGAAAGGAAGAGAAUCAAGCAAGUAAAUGAUUUGAAUGACUUAUCUGUUUAGGUGGUGGAGUAAUAGUUUAUAUCAUUAGUUAUGAUCAUGUUAAUUAAUAUGGUCCACAAACCUCAAGCAGAGAAAAAGACAGCAACAUUUAGAAGGGGGUAACACAUUUCAUUAGCUCUUGUGUAUAAGGCAACUUUACAUUAUUCUUAAUAGAGUGAACAAUACCAAUACAUUUUGGGUUAUUAUGAGAAAGGGUUGUUUGAUGCAUGAGCUGGUUAAGGUACAUAUGAUUUAACUCUAGCUAUCUAGCAAUAAAGCUACAUAUCGAAUAAGAAAAAUUAUAUUCAAGACAUUAUAUAUGUAUGAACUGAAAAAAAAAAAUUAUAACGUGUGUAUAUAUAUAUAUAUAUAAAAGCUUCUUUUAAACAUAUAUACUUACAUAGUUAAUAACAAACCGUUACACGUAUAGCUCAAAUUAUGUAGCUAGACACCGUUACCAUCAUUUAAAAAAAAAUUAUCAAAGAAACCUUAAUGGAACCGGCCUUUACUUGAUUGUAAUCUGGGAACUGGUAGUGGACCUCCUGUUGUUCCAGUGGCAUGCACCAGAUGGGAAAAAGCAAUGUAGUUACAACUAAAGAAUUUGAUUUAUUAAACCCCAACAGUCUCAAACAUAUAAUUAACAAUAAAUAAAGUUGGCACUUUAUGAUUGUUGAAACGGCGCCACUUUUAUGCGUUGAAUUAAAUAGAAUGGCUAGCUCUUGUCCUUUCGAAAAAUGGUCUGCCUUUAAUGGCUUAAAGGUUUCAUUUUAAAAACCUUAAAAGCCACGUUUGCUUCAUGGAACAGGGCUUUGGGAAUGAGAGUGAUAUUUUCAUUCCAUUAAUUGUUUUAUUUAGUUCAAUAUUUUGAACUCUGAAAAUUUAUACCUGCAAAGUCACCGUCCAUAAAAUAUGGUUGUUGAAAAAUGAAAACCGAUCAUACUUCUUAGGAGUUCUAAUGUCACCCAUGUUCUUUUCUUCAAUGAUAAGUGAUUUAACUCCUAUAUUCGAUAAUUUGUGUUAAAAUAUCUUUCAUAAUCUAAUAAAUUAUUUAUUUCUUUUUAAUGUAGAAAUAUAAUAUAUCUAAAAAAAUAAAUAAACAAAAAAAAUAUUAUUUAUCUUCUUUUCACAAUAUAAUAAAUUUAUGUAUAGUAUAUAAUCUAAUAAUUUUUUGUAUUCUAGUCAUGAUUUAUAUUUUUUAAUAUAGUGUUCUAUACUAUUAUAAUAUAAUGAAUUGUGUGGAUUUAUUCCAACCAUUAUUGAUCUUUUGCUAAAAAUAAUAUAAUAAUUUACAUGAUAAAUUAUUUUGCAUGUAGAGCCAAUUUUUGGCUACAAUAUAAUAAAAAAAUUUUAAUUAAUAAUUAAAAAAAAUCUUAUACGUUAAUCAAUACUAUUUUAAUAAUUUAGAGUUCCCAAAGUAUUUACAUUUCAUGUAAGAAAAACAGUCAACAUACCCCAUUUUUUACCAACAAGAGUUUUUAUAUUUAUAAAAAAUCAUUUACUAAGAACGCUUUUCAAAAAUGUUUGGAUGGUUUAAUAGAAAAAAAGUCCAUAAGAAAUUUUUUUUGAAAAGACACUAUAAGAUUCAUUAAAGUGAUUGUUGUUAGCCAUCCAACCAUGCUGCUUCCUAAGAAGAAUGAUCUUUAAAAAAUGACCUUGAGAUCAGUGUGUAAGGUUGGAGAUGGUUAAGCACUAAUAUAAACCUUGGGAUAAGUCAAGGCUCUCAGACGGGUGUCUUGUGUGGGAUAAGUCAAACCUCACUCUAUGUCUCUAGAUGGUUAAGUUCUAAGAUGAGUGUGGCAUCAAACCACAUAAAGAGGAUUAGUAUGACCUCACUAACAACCAAUUGGUUUUCAAGUGAGAUAACUAGCUAAAUCCUUUAUCUUAAUAAGUGGUAUCAAAGUUAGUUAGAUUAUGGGUCAAGUUACAAAAGUUUUAUGUUAAGAAAGGGAUUGAUAGGCAUGCAACGAUGUUGCUCUCUAAGGAAAAUGACUAUUGAAAAACGAUCUUGGGAUGAGUGUGUAAUACGGAGAUAGUUAGAUAACAUUAAUAGCUUUCGAGAUGAUUCAAUCCCCUAAGAUGGGUAUAUUGCGUAGGAUGGGUCAAUGGACAGUUUGAAAUGGUCAAGGCCUCACAAUGUUCCUUCAAAUGGUUAAGCCUUACAAUAAGUGUGAAUGAGUGUAGCAUGAAACCAUACAAAGAGUAUUAGCUUGAUCUCACUGAUAGCAAAUGGUUUUCAAAUGAAAUGAUUAAGUGUGUAAUCGUCAUAAGUAAUAUCAAAGUAUCAAUGGAAGAUUUUUGGAAAAGUCAAAUAUAUAUAUAUAUAUAUAUAUAUAUAUAUAUAUAUAUAUAUAUAAUAUGUUCCCUUAAACAACAAUGUUACCUCCUAGAGACUUAGGUAAUCCAAAAGCAGAGUCCAUUGUAAUAUGUCCCCACUUCCAUUAAGAGAUUGGAAGUGGUUGCAAUAGUCUUAUUGGGCAUUAGUGCUCAACUUUGACUUGCUGACAACUAAAGUACUUUGCUAAGAAAUGAGCAAUAUCUCGCUUUGAACUAGACAACUAGUAAAGUUCUCUCAUAUACUUCUAUACAUCUUAGUCUAAUCAGGAUGAACUAAAAAUUUAGAGCUAUGACUCCCUUUUAAAAUAUCUCUUCUCAAAUCUCUAACAUGAGGCACACACAUAGUCUAGAACUUCAAAAUCCUAUCAUCCAAAAGUAUAAACUCGAAUUUAGUACCUUUUCUAAAUCCAUCCAUGAUUUGCACCAACUUUGGGUCUUCACCCUAUGAUGACUUGAUCCACCCAACCUGCAGAUUCAAUUGAACACUAAGACUAGCCAAUAGUAUUUCAUAAUCUAGAACUAUGAACCAAACCCUCAAUCUCUCCAAAACACAAAAAAUAAGGUUGUCUUCAUUGUAGGGUUUCGAAAGAACCACCAAAUUUUUUACUAUCAAUGCAUCACCGACUACAUUUGCCUUGCUAAGAUGAUAAAUAAUAGAGCAAUCAUAGUCCUUUAGAAGCUCAAUCCCCCUUCUUUGUCAUAUAUUCAAUUCUUUCUAUAAAUAAAUAAAUAAAUACUUUAAGUUUUUGUGGUUUCUCACAUGUUUCGUAGCACAAAUAAAGUCUUCAAAACUUAAGUGCAAAAGCUAUAACUGCUAGCUCUAAGUCAUAAGUAGGGUGGUUCUGCUUAUAAGGUUUCUAUUGUAUAAAAACAUAAGCAAUAACCUUCCCAUGUUGCAUUAAUACACAACCAAGUCCUUGGUUUGAUGCAUCGUGACUAAAGACAACAUGUCCCCCUGAGCCCAAAGGAAUAGUCAACAUAUCCUCGUUGAGUUUUGGGCUGUAAAAUGUUGCAACAGAGAGCCUCUCCUUGAUUGAGUUCACAGUUGCGCGAUGCUCGAUGCUCCGAUAAGCUCCAUUUGUCACAAUCUGCCAAGCCAUGGAAGAAAACAGAUCAGAGAGAGACAAUUACAGUCGACUGUUUGUUGACAUGAUGAUGAUGAAAUAUAUUCAUUCUAAAGAGAUUUCAAAGGAAGAGAAGCUAUGGCUCUAGGCUUCAUUACGGUUGAUUUCCCAACUGAGCCUGAAUUACACAAAAAGAUUUUGAGUAUGGCCAUUGCCCAACUGGUUAAGAAAAUGAGACGCUAUUACCUCCAAAAUGUCUCCUAUGUUGACAAUGAAAGCACCUGGAAGGGGUUUAAUAGGAACCCACAUCCCAUCUUUCCUUAUCUGGAGACCUUCCAUUUCAUUGACUUGAAGGAGUAUAGUGAGGCCCACUGCAUCCGAAUGAGGGGUUAGGCCAAUGACUUGAUCGGGUUGUGGACAUGGAGGAUAAUAAUUCAUCCUCAUUGCCUGAUGCCCUUCUUCAAACAAUUCUUUCAUAUCAUUGGCUUCCAUUUUUAGAGCUUUUGCUAUGAACCCAAGGAUUGUCAUGGCAAGAUUUCUCAGUUCAACUGCAUAAAUUUCCAAGGAAUCCCUGUACGAAAAAUAAAGUUAAUUGGACCCUUCAUUAAUGCUAAUAGCUCAAGGUAUUGUAAGGCCGCACAUUGAACAGGUUGAGCUAGGCCCAAGUAGCUUCACCUGAAUACAUGUACUGACUUGUGGACCCCGCAUUUCGAUCGCUCGAAUGCGUUUUCCACUCGAUGGCGAGCUCGAAUUUUUAUUUGAAAAAUGAUUUUAUUUAUUCAAAGAGAAAAUGACUUGGAGUCGCCACUUAUUUUUGUUUUAUUUUUAAAAGGGUAAACAAAAUAAGAAAGAAAAACCCUAAGUGUGACUCCUUGUUUGGAAAAGGUGGUCUACGAAAACCGGAUCGGGUUCAGGGAUCAGGUUACUUACUGGGAAGGUACGGUAAAGACCGUAGCACCCCUCUAAGUCCGUAAGGUUGGGUCUCUACUAAUAAGAUGAAGCUAACAUGGCAAUCACUAGGAAAGUCAAUGGAUACUCAAGUCAAUCAUGCACAUAUGAGAAUCAGAAUACGUAUAAGGAAUAACCAAUGUCGAAGUGGAUACGUACCUGAUCAGCAAACGGCAACGCACUAUCACAAAAUGGGGUUAGUGCAUAGUAAUGAACAUAAAGCAUGUCACUCAUAUCACUAAACAGGAUGAGGAACCACCAAUAGCACGCAUGAUAUUUCUUUCAAAUUCACUUUUAUUUUGAUGAAAAUUUAUUUGAUGUUGGGCCCCACCAAAGCCCAUUUAUUUUGCAUAAACCAAAUCUGUAAAUUCCAUAACUAGGAAUUACAAAAUUUGAUUCUUGCGUAUUUUAAAACAUUUUAAAAAAAACAAAGAAAAUUCAAAAGUGGCUUGCCGGAAAGAAAAUGGCAACCAAAUUUUAUUGAAAAUGGGAUUUUGGUAUCUAAAAAAAACGAAAGGUGAAAAAGUAGAGGAGUCGGGAUUAUUUGAAAAGAUGAAUUGUAGAAAGUAUUUACAAAACAAGACAUGGGGGCAAUUAUUUUAAAAUCAAAUGUGAUGAAGAAUAAGAGAAAGGAGGACACGUGCCUAAGGCUGCAUGCAAAAAUACUUGAGUGGGGGAGUUGGUGAGGAAUGGCCAUGCAGGGAUGAAAUCCUGAUCAUAACCGUGCUUACUUGAUCAACUUGUGGAUUAGGAUCAUCAAAUUCUGAAAACCCUGCAUCAAACGCAAACCAUUGAAUGUACCGCCAUCAAUCACAGCACUGCUGACCUUCUUAAACAGCUCGUAUAGUACCUCUAUUUCACUCACACUAAACACUGUUUCCCUUGCCAGAGCUUCAAGAUCAUGAAGACCUUUUGCUGGAUUCUGUAGAGAAAGCCUGAAGAGGAAGAGUGAAGAUGCUCGCCCACCAUGUCUCACUGUCUAUUCACUCUGCUAGGGUUUUUUAUACCUCGAUUUGCACUUCGAAUAACCCCGCUUUGAAUUGAAUGAACCAUCUUUAUCUUCAUCCUCCAACGAAGAAACCACAAUGGUGCUCCUCUUGCUCGUUACUAUCACCACUGAAACCUUACUCUGGUUGUAGAAGUUGGCCUUAACAGCCUCAACAAUCAGAUGUCGCAUAUUCCCAGAACAGUUCAUUGGCAAGUCAUUCAUGCUCGCGCAAUCCAAGUAUCCACUCCUAGACGUGACGCCUGAAGCAAACAUCAUUGCUUUGGCAACAGCCUGAUUGGCUACCAAACUAAGAGAUUGAGGUACAGUCAACAAACCCUCAUAAUCGUCCAAUGGCUGUAAACUGGAAAUCAAGUCUUCAUGAUGCUUUACUGAAAUUUGUUUCUCUUUCCUUCGAUACUGAGAUGCAUCACCAUGCAGUGCCUAAAGGUUUGAUGGGUCUCCUCUGAUGCCUGAAAAUUCUCAUUAUCAAGAACAUGAGUGACAGCCUUCGCAGGCCCUUCUUAAACUUCUUGCCCCAUAAGUACUGCCACAAGAUCAACACUGAACAAGAGAAGAUUUCUGGUUUGAUGAGCAAAUAUUGAUUUCAUGUUCAUUCUCAGUAGAAGCCUUGGAGUCUUUCUUCUUGAAAGGUUUUCAGUAAUGAAAGAGCAACAAUAUCUUUUAUGGCAAGUACAAGCAUACACGAUUAUGGGGCACCAUUAUCGUCCAAACUACCAAGAAGCUUCGCACCAUUCUUAACUCUGGGUGAAACAAAACAGCUUCCUUAUCCCAAUCAGCUUAAAAUUCAUAGAGAAAACCCAUUUUCCAGAGGACAUUGUGAGAAAAACAAACAUGAUAGGUAUCAGGAAAUAUGGUUAUGAAAGGUGGUGAGAAAAGGAUAAUGGAUAUGAGAAGGUCUUAGAGUGAGAAAAUGGGUUUGACCGAUGGUUUGUGGGUAAUGAAGGCUGCCAUGCAUAUGGGAGAGUAUGAGACUUGGGCAUGAAACAAUGGAUUUGAUGGAUAUGGGAUGCAUGCAUGAGAUGGAUGACAGAGGAUGGGAUGGACGGAUUUGAUGGGUACGUAGAAAAAAAACAAUGGGUAUGAAUGGCGUGGAUUUAGAAGAAAACGGCUAAAUGAAGGAUAUGAGUAUGAUAGUGGGAACAAUGAAGAAGUAGAGAUAGCGACACGUGGGACUUUCAGGCACUUGCAGCGCAUAAAGCACUAUAGAGAGUUUCACGCUCUGAUAAUUGUGGCACCAUGUUGUUGGGCAGUGAUGAUAAAUUUUCUAUUCAACCACGCGUCAUCGCCCACAAGCCCCCGCACAGGUUUCUCACCAGCUGGGGUUUUGACAGUAGCAUGGGUGACAUCCGGAUACUGAAUUGAAGAGUGAUUUCCCCCAUAUGAUAGCAUUCUUAACAUCGGAUAUUUGAACAUUCAGCCUUGCAGAGACCUGACAUGCUGCCCCGUUAUGGUCCAGUCUUGUCAAACGACUAAUGUUUUCUCAGGAUAUUGAUGGUGCAAAUCCCUUCAGGAUAAAGGCGUUUGCAUUUGCUGGGUUAGCAACAACCUUAAUUGCAAACUCCAAUAGUGACCUUGACACAGCAGAGGAAAGAGCAACUGCACGCAGUGCAUUUGUAGAGAAAUAUGAACCCUCUGGAGGAAUGGAAAAUAGUAUACUAACAGCAGCUUCUAAGUUCCCAACUGACACAAAUUCAUGUACACGGUUCUGAAUAGUCUCUGCUUCCCCCAGUUUCUCAUGUCUUUAGCUCCUCACUUCCAUCGCUCAGUGUAAAGCCAUUGAAAUGUUGAAGACGCCGAGAUGAGGAAUAAGCUUGCAUGCGGGCUUAGCAACAACCUGAUUUCCUCUUCAGUAAAUGAAACUAACAGCAGUAACCUUUAAGGGAUUGGCAAUGAGCAUCAAAUCCCAAUAUAACAAGUUACAAGGAAGUCGCAACUUUGCAUCUUUCACACCUGCAGGGGCAUUAUUGAGAGCAAUACUAAUGCCAGAGAGCGUCGACUUCUAGCAAAGAAGCAUGGGGCACGUUCAGAACAACAUCAGGGCCUCUGCAGUUCAUGCUUAGAAAAGCACACACAAUAUCGAUAGCAACUUGCUUAACAAUGGAAGAGGAUUUCUUCGCCUUCGCAUGAGAAUGCCCAAGAAUGUAUGCAAGCCCAGAUCCCCUAGCUUUCAGUAUCGGCAGAGACUCUUCUUUGGGAAGAGAGUUUCCCAACUGCUCAUCGCCAGAUUUCAUAACUUGGAUAUCAUGUGAAGACUGCAAUAUUCAACCCCAUUUCCCACUUCUGAUCCUCAAUAUAUGGGUUCAUGCCAUGUGUCUGAACAUAAUCGUAACGAAAGAGAGCAGCCUGUUCAAUUCAUCUCAUGGGUUUGGCACGGGUAAUAGUAGAUUAGAUAACAAGAGCGGGACAUUAACGAGGGCUGCUAAGCACAUCGACAGACACCCGAUUUCAAUGAAGGAAGUCACAUCUGCUGGUCCUAGGCUCUGCUCUUUUUGGAAAGAGGCUGGGAAGACGAUGAAAUUGAUGUCGCCACAGCCUAUGAAUCACCGGAGCUGUCAUAGCUGAGGGGUGCAUCAAAGAUGCCACUUGGACUGCUGGGCAGGGACAGAUACUUGCAUUUGCGGAUCUGGUUUUGGGUACGCCCAUGGCUACCCAAAAAUUCCAGGAUAAGUUUAUAGCAGUUAUCCACAUCGUCCUUCAGUUUUAUUGGAGCUGGACUUUCUCUUCUCACGGGCAUUUUCCUCAUGGGGACUCCCUAUCUGAUCUGUUGAUGCAGCUGCACUUUCUCUUCCUCUCAUCCUCAGAUGACAUCUCUUCUUUCAAAGGUAUCUCUUCUCUCAAAACCCGUAUAAUGAACAAGAUCCAGGAACAGAGGUGGCCUCAACCAUGAAAAGAAAUGCAUGAAAACAGAGCACAAAGGGAAACAAAUAAAAAGGUCCUCAAAGGAAGAUUCACAUCAUGAGUCAUCAGUGAACCUUCCUAUUAGGUGGGGAAAAACAGCAUCAAAUGCAAAUAUUGGUGGGGUUCCCGGGCAUUUCAUAGUCACAAAUAGAAGCAUAACAUGUUAAGAUUGACAAUGGCAGGUAUGAUUUCAGGAUUAUAUCUCAACAAGCAACAAGUGGCCUUCAUUAUCCACCCCAAGCAAAACAACAAAUAUCCAAAUAUCAACAAGCAAUGCAGAGAGAUAGCAAGGAUCCAAAAUAAAACAAUGUACCUGCUGCAUUCAUACCUGAGAGUGCCCUUCUCCGGUCAGGUUCUGUUCAGCUUCAAAACGACUCAAAAUCUCUGUUAAAAAGCCAUGAAAAACCUCCUCCUCUGCAGCCUCAAACCUCUCUGCUCCCUCUCUCUCUUGACCUCUAAGCCAAAGGAAAAUCCCCUCCAAAAUAUCUCUCCAUUUUCCUUCGCAAAAAGCACCACCCCUCCCGAGCUAAACUAUCCUCCUCUCUCUAAAAAAAAAUAUCUCUAACGGCAGCACUCCGGACCACCUCUCCCUGCUCUCUCCCAAAAAAACCAAACAAAAGCUCUCCCCCCUGCCAAAAAUCACCUGCAGCUGCCUAAAAUCUCCUCUCCACUACCAUGCAGCUGGCAACAAAAAAGCAUCCUCUUUUCAUACGCUUCUCCCAGCUUGCACUAAUGGCCAACAGAUUUUUUUCAGAAUCACCUUUAUAGGUGUCAACCCCUGAUUGCUCCUCCAACUCCACUAUUGUGAUUCUCUAGCAGCUAGUCAAAAUGUGACACGUGGCUUCCCCCAGAUGGUGACACCUGGCUAAAAGCAAGCUGCAGAAAAUGAGCCCCAAAUGGGGGUCUACAUGACUCUAUGUUUUUUACCUACUCAAUCUAAUCAGAUUCCACUAUAUUUGUGUUCAAUUGGGGAAUGGACUAAUGCUUUCACAACUUCUAUUAUUCAACUUGAAAAGACGAUAUUUCAACCUAUCAAUCAUAGAUCGAGAGAAAGAGAGAGAGAAAGAACCUAAGCGAGAUAGGUAGCUUGGGGAAUAAGUGGGGUUUCCUCAAAUAAGUUGGAAGAGUGAUCAUGUAGAACAUGUCUGCCCAGUCAAGUUUCUGCUCUUCAGAAACAACAAAGGCCUGUCCAAAUCCCUGUAGAUCUUCUGGCUGUUGCCAAAACUUCUUCUUCUCUUCCAUUGGGAGGUUGAAGAAUUCUUGUACCUCUACCUUUACUUUCUCCACCAAAGUAGAGAUCACUCCAUGAUUUGUCAACUGCAAUGAAUACAUUUAUGUUAUUAUUUACUUAAAGUUAUUAUGAUCUUUUGAAUUAAUUAUAUACUUAAAGCAAAUGAGAAUAAACAAUUAUAAAUUCAUAGAAUUAUCUAAUGUCUUAUUAUUUAAUUAUGUAAAAUUUGUUCCUUCAUGCAGUACUCUAAAGUGCAUACCACCAUCCCCCCUUCUCCAGUUUUUUUUCUUUUGUUGGAAACAGGGGAGGUUAACACACCAAGCAACAGAGAACAGAGAUAUGCUGCUACUGAUCUGAUCUUUUUAUUUGAUCAUAAGGCUGAAUUUAUACAGAUUGUGUAACAGAUAUGACCUCAAAAAAAGCAUCAAAUUAAGCUACUUGUUGAACAAACAACUACCUCCUACAAAAUAGCAUCAGAAUUUAACUUAAAAGCAAAAAACAUAAAAAUAGCAACAGCAAAAACAAAAACAUAAAAAUAGCUUCAGCAUUCUAGUAAUCUUGUUGACUUCAACUGCAUGUGGUUGACGAUUUCAGCCUUUCCCUCAGCAGCUACUAAGGCAUAACUCUCAACACUCCUCCUUGACUUAGGAGCUGCAAACUCCAAGUCUUUCUCGUAGAAACUCAAAUCUUAUUUUCGGAAGAGCUUUAGUCAGAAUAUCUGCAUUCUGACUUUCUGUAUUGCAGUAGACUAGCUGUAUAUCUCCUUCUUUCUGUACUUCCCUCAGAAAAUACAAUUUAAUCUUGAAGUGCUUUGUUUUACCAUGAAAAACUGGAUCAUUUGCAAUAGAUAUAGUGGCCUGGUUGUCUACAAACACCUUUGUACUUACUUCUUGCUUCAUAUCUAAAUCUGUCAACAACUUUCUAAGCCAUAAGGCUUGAUUUACAGCUGCAACAGCAACAAUAUACUCUGCCUCAGCUGUGGAAUGAGCCACGACUUCUUGCUUCCUUGAACUCCAUGAAAAAACACCAGAACCAAAGCUAAAACAAUAGCCUAAAGUACUUCUCAUAUCGUCAACACAACCAGCCCAAUCACUAUCAGAAAAUCCAUGAAAAUUGAAACUUUGAACUUGACUGAACUUAAUGCCAUAAUCCACAAUGCCUUUAACAUAUCUUAUCACACGCUUUGCUGCUUGGAAAUGAAUUUCACUAGCACAAUGCAUGUAUCUCGAAAGUAGACUUACAACAUGCAUUAUAUCGGGUCUUGUUGCAGUCAAGUACAUUAAGCAUCCAAUCAUGCUUCGAUAAAGUCCUUCAUCUACCUUUUCAGCACCAUCCUCCUUACAGAACUUCUCUUUCUGGUUCAUAGGGGUAGAUGUAGAUUUGCAUUCCUCCAUUUUGAAUUUCUUCAGAAUUUCUUUGGCAUAUUUUUGUUGGCAGAUGAAAAUCUCAUUCUGCUUCUGGUGUACUUCCAUUCCCAAGAAGUAAGACAUCUCACCUAGGUCUGUCAUCUCAAAGACCUGCUUCAUUUCAGCCUUGAAUUUGUUCACAAACCCUGCAUUACUUCCUGUUACAAGCAAAUCAUCAACAUAUAGAGAAACAAUUAAUAUAUCUUCUUCAAUCUUCUUAAUGUAGAGUGUAAAUUCACUUAAGCUCUUGUGAAAGCCUAAAGUUAGCAGGUGAGUGUCAAUCCUGCUGUACCAGGCUCUAGGGGCUUGUCUUAACCCAUACAAGGCCUUCUUAAGAAGGUAUACUUUUUCUUCUUUUCCUUUGAUAGCAAAACCUUCUAGUUGUUCGACAAAAAUCUCUUCCUCCAGGUAGCCAUUCAAAAAUGCUGACUUCACAUCUAGUUGAUAAAUCUUCCAUUUUCUUUGAGCUGCAAGAGCCAACAACAUCCUGAUUGUAUCCAAACGAGCUACUGGUGCAAAGGUUUCCGAAAAGUCAACACCAAACAUUUGUGCAUACCCUUUGACAACCAGCCUUGCUUUAUGCUUGUUUAUAGAACCAUCAGAGUUGAGUUUGGUUCUGUAAACCCACUUAACCCCAAUAGGUUUUUUGUGUGAAGGUCUAUCUACUAGCUCCCAAGUGUUGUUCUUGUCAAUCAUAUUUAGCUCCUCCUACAUUGCAACCCUCCAUCUUUUAUUUUCAGCAGUUUCAAAAAACCCUGCAGGUUCAAGAACAGCUAUAUUACACCUUUGAUAAAUAUCAAAAAGUGUCCUGAAACCUCUAACUGGAAGUUCAUCAACAUCUUCAUCAAUAUAUAGCUGAUUCUGCUCAUCCCAGCUCCAUUUCUCCGUUUCCAAAAACUUAACAUCUCUACUUACCACAAUUUUAUUAUUUUGUGGCAAGUAGAUUCUGUAAGCUUUUGAGGUGCUGCUGUAUCCAAUGAAAAUUCCUGGUUCUGACUUUUUAUCUAACUUGUCUCUUUUCACCUAAGGAACAUAAGAUAAACACUAGCAACCAAAGGUCUUUAAAUUCAUUAGCAUAGGCUUAUAACCAAACCAGGCCUCAAAAGGUGUCUGUUUUUGCAAUGCUUUUGUUGGUAGUCUAUUUAGCAAAAAUACUGUUGUAUUUGCAGCUUCAGCCCAGAAACUUUUUGGCAGCUCUUUCUCAUGCAAAAGACAUCUUGUCAUCUCCAUUAUUGUUCUAUUUUUUCUUUCCACCACCCCAUUUUGUUGUGGGGUGUAUGGUGUAGUGAGCUGGUGAUCUAUGCCUGCAUCUUCACAAAAUUUGUUGAAUUUUUCUGAAGUAUAUUCUGUACCAUUAUCCGACCUUAUAACCUUGAUUCUGUAUUCACUUUGAUUUUCAACCAUGGCUUUAUAUCUCAAAAACACAUCAGCAACCUCAGAUUUGUAAGUGAGAAAAUAAAUCCAACAAAAUCUUGUGAAGUCAUUAAUAAAUGCAAUAUAGUACUUACUCACUUUCAAAUAUGGUGUCUUUUGAGGUCCACUAACAUCUGUGUGAACCAAUUGUAGUUUCUGUGUUGAUUUCCAUGCUGCUUUUUGAGGAAAAGGAAGUCUUGUUUGCUUCCCAUAUUGACAGGCUGCACAUAUAGGAAGUUCUUCUUCCAAAUCAGGGAGUCCUUCUACAAUCUGAUUCUUCUUCAUGUAGAGCACGGCAUUGUGGUGGAAAUGCCCUAAUCUUUUAUGCCAAAGCAUUGUAUUGUUCUCAUGUUGUGCAGCAGCAAUUUGCUCAUCUUCUAACAUAUUCAAGGCAAAACUUUUGCCUUUCAUUUUUAUGUUGAACACCUCUCUGCCUUCAGCAUCCUUGAUUAUGCAAUUUUUGUCUUCAAAACAAACUUUAAACCCUUCUCAACAAGCUGUCCAACACUUAGCAGAUUUUGGUCAAUGUCAGGCACAAACAAAACAUCAGAAAUGAGCUUUAAACCUGUUAGGCUUUCAAUAGCUACUGUUCCUUUACCUUUUACUGGAAUAUACUCACCAUUUCCAAUUCUGACUUUGGAAAUAGCUGUCCUAUCAAUCUCCCUAAAGAGAUCUUGAUCAUAUGUCAUGUGGUUUGUGCAACCACUAUCCACGAGCCAGCUUUCAGAGGUGCUUCUGUUUGCAAAACAUGUUGCUGAAAAUAGUUGCUCCUCCUGGUAUUGUUCAGCUGCUACAUUGGUUUCUCCCUGCUGCUGUUGAAUUCUACAGAUCCUUUAUAUGUGUCCCUGUCUACCACAUUUGUUGCAUUUCACAUCUGGUCUCCACCAACAUUUUUGUUGAGGAUGAUUUGUUUUCUUGCAAUAAGGACGGGGUGGAUAGGUUCCAGUUUUUUUAUUGUUGUUGUUGCUUAGCUUAUUGUUGUUCUUUUUGUUCUUCAUCCUUCUUGUGUUGCCUUCAUUGGUCUGUGUCUUUGCUUGAAAAGCUCCUUCUACAGAACUUCCUUACCUCAUGAGUCUUCUUUGUUCCAAAGCUUGUAAAGCAUUUAGUAGUUCUGCCAAGGUGAUACUUGACAAAUCUUUUGUGUUUUCCAAAAAAGAAAUUGUAGCUUCAUAUUUUUCAGGAAGUGUGACAAAAAAUUUUUGAACAACUCUUUCAUCAGAAAACUCUUUACCUAGCAACCUCACCUUGUUUGCUAUGGUAAGAAGUUGUUCUGCAUAAUCUUUUAUGGUUUGAGACUCCUUCAUCCUCACCAUUUCAAAUUCUCGAAUUAGAUUCAUCACCUGCAUAUUUCUGACUCUUUCAUUGCCUUGAUAUUCUUCCCGUAGAUGCUUCUAGAUUUCUGCAGCAGAUUCAAGUUGCAUGAUUCUGGUGAGAAUUAAUGGUGAGACUGCAGAAAAUAAGCAAGCCUUGGCCUUGGCCUUCCUCGUCUUUUUCUCCUUAUGGUUUUUCAUCUGUGCCACAGUUGGAUUGGCUCCAAGUGGAGAAAUUUCAUAAUCUUCCUCUAUUGCUUCCCAGACAUCAAGAGCCUGUAGAUGAACAGUCAUCCUGAUAGCCCAAGUUUGGUAAUUUUCUCUAUUGAAGACUGGUGGUGCUGCUAUGAAGCUUGCUUCUUCCAUUUCUGCAAGGUUUUCAGAAGGUUUUCAGAUACAGGUUUGAUAUACAGUGUUUAGGCUCACACACCUCACUGGUCCCUCAAGACAAAAAUGCUCUGAUACCAAACUGUUGGAAACAGGGGAGGUUAACACACCAAGCAACAGAGAACAGAGAUAUGCUGCUACUGAUCUGAUCUUUUUAUUUGAUCAUAAGGCUGAAUUUAUACAGAUUGUGUAACAGAUAUGACCUCAAAAAAAGCAUCAAAUUAAGCUACUUGUUGAACAAACAACUACCUCCUACAAAAUAGCAUCAGAAUUUAACUUAAAAGCAAAAAACAUAAAAAUAGCAACAGCAAAAACAAAAACAUAAAAAUAGCUUCAGCAUUCUAGUAAUCUUGUUGACUUCAAUUGCAUGUGGUUGACGAUUUCAGCCUUUCCCUCAGCAGCUACUAAGGCAUAACUCUCAACAUCUUUGCUUUUAAGUGUGCAGUUUGGUCGUGAUUUUAUACAAGUAAAUUGGUUCCAUACCUGGAAGAAACCCCACUCUUUGCAAGCGUAGUGCAACUUGUCCAGCUCUGAAUCCAUGGAAUCUCCGGAAACCAAGCGGUUAAAGUCGAUGACUGGGGCAUGGAUUGAAGAACAAGUAGUGCUAGAAUCGGAUAAGAAUGGAGGGUCUUGCUCAGGACGCAGGUACCGUGGUGGAACUGUGGUGAGCGUCUUCUUUGCUAGCUCCUGAACACAAGGCA
RNAcentral lists this long non-coding RNA (64378 nucleotides) under Vitis vinifera (wine grape). Its description in RNAcentral is "long non-coding RNA (VVIN_LNC003142)". The record is from RNAcentral. Lineage: Eukaryota; Viridiplantae; Streptophyta; Magnoliopsida; Vitales; Vitaceae.